GGCUAAGAAUUCUAAGAUCUUAGCUCCGCCUCUGCAACUUAUUGCUGCUAAAAGCGGCAAAUUGUUUAGAUUAAAAUUCCUACUGUAUUUAAUUGCUUUUGUUUUCCGCUUUUAAGCGAAAUGCAAUUGAAUGUGUGGAACACCACCACUCAACCUCAAUAUCAGAAACAAAAAUAACAAAUCAAUGGAUCAAAUGAAGAAGACAAGAAGAAGACCACUUAUUCUGCUGAUGUUGGUAGGCUCAUAUCAAGUGUAAAUUUUAGCAGGUCUGUCUUCGUGGGGGAAAAUUCUCAAAUUGACAGGAGAUGUAAGCAAGAGAGAAGAGGAAAUCAAAAGACAAUAUUAUCAACUUGAGUUUGAGUGAUUUUAAGCUGCCAAAGCCAUCAUUAGGCGGCAACUUCACCCUUCCCGCAAGUCUUUAAUCCCUUGCCUCCUCUUCUCCUCAACAACAUUCUCCCGGCCAAUUCGAGCAUUUCUCUGCCGUAGGAGAGAAAAAUCCCCACACUCUAGGCCUCUCUCUUUUCAAUCAUAGCCCACCAAUCCAUCCCAAAUUUCAAGAAUACAUCAGAACCAAUUAUGUUAAAUCAAAAUCGAAACCCCUGUUUUUCUCGAUUUUUCCUCUACACGCGAGAAAGAUUACAAAAGGUCGCGAGUUCAAGCCAUAGACGACAGCAUGAAAAUUUUUGCUGAUUCAGAUAUUUAUAUUGGGGACAUUAGGGUUCCUUGGUUCGAGUUUAAACCCAAGAAUUCUAGCUCUUUCUAGACGUGCUUUAUGGAUGCAUUUGCAAGUUCGACUCCCUUGGAUAAGGCCCAAUUCUAAAACCAAACCAGGCCCAAAUAAGCAAAAAGUUGAGCCAUCAGUCAGGUUAACACAACAAUUGUCCUUGUGAAUAGAACCCACGAAUGUCAACGGGUCAGAGUUCAGGUCGGAUUUGGAAAUUCCUGACCCAGACCCGUUUUUAUGUAGUAGAUCCAGAUCCGACCCGUAUAUUCAAUGGGUCUCGAUCUUAAAGUUUUGGAAUCGGGUUCGACGGGUCCCGAGUCUAUCCGAAAAGAAAAGGUCCAAAUUUAAAUAUUUUAAAAUUAAAUCCAAAACCAAUCACAAAUCCAAUCUCCAAACUUAAACAUAUCAAAUUACAAAACUAAAUUACAAAUAAUUCGCACUAGUCAAUUCAAAAUUAAUCACAAAUCAAUUUACAAAGUCAUUACUAAAUUGUUAAUUUGGUAAAAGAAUGUAUUUAGAAAUAUUUAUAUUUUAUAAUUAUUAAUAUAUUAUUCGAUUCUAGGUCGGAUAUGGGGUUAGAAUCCUAUAUUCUAUAUCUGACCCCCCUUUUUUUUUGUAAGAAUAAACAAGUCUGAGUCCGAGUAUCGAAAUUAUUUUCAACCCAAACCUGGAAAAAUUUAUCGGAUCCGGGUCGGGCUCAGAUCCAAACCUGACCCGUUGACACGCCAAAUAGAACCUAAUCAUAGUGUGAUUACGACCUUGUUCUCGAUUCCUUUAAUUUUACAAAAUCUGAUUAAAUAAAUUGAUUAUGGACAGUAAUUAAAAUUUUAAAAAAAAAACUUUUUUUGAUUGAUUAUAUAUAUUAGUUUUUUCUUGUCAUUAAAAAAAUUUAAUAAAAAAAUCCAGAACAUCACAAAAACUGAUUAUUCAAAAUCAGAAUCUAUAAUCAGUGAAAAAUAAUCAAUCGAGAACAAGCGCUACGACUACGCUAAUCAUUGGCAUGUAAGAUGUGAUACUACGUUCUUUCUGCAAAUAUUUCCUAUGGUAGUACAAUGAAUCAACCAUUGGGCCAAUGGCUCAGUAGCCACCAGGGAGGGAUUUAAGUCCCUCCUUGGGCUGUUGGUGAGGUUUGAACCCUCACCAGCAGCGAAAAAAAAUCUAAAGGUUGUGCCAUAGCACUCUCUUAGUUUAGUUAGAUUUGUAUACCCACUAGCCCCUAUAACAGUCUCCUUAGGCUCCCCCUCCCCCUAGAUUAGGAUAGAAUAUAUUAUACAAAUGUAUCGUUGCUGACAAAAAAAAAAAAAAGUACAAUGAAUCAAGUUUGAUAGUUACGCUAUAUUAGACUAAAUCUACUGAAGCACUCUGUUUGUCUCCAUACGAGAAGCGGGGUACAAUUGACAUGAUUUGUACCAGGCAGUUCUUUGGGUGAAAGAUGAGUUGAAAUCUUUUACUACCCAUCACAUCUUUUGCUGUUAAAUAUAAUUGAAAACAGAGGAAAUUAAUCCAAAGGAAUAAGACGAAAACACAACAUGUAAGGCAAAUUUGAUUGUCAUGAUCUUUGGCACGUAAACUAUGAUGCUGGACGUUGUAGGAACAUAAACGAUGGACGUUAUAGGAUUAGUAAACUAAAGGAGAUUACUGCUCAGAACGGGACAGUGGAUCAUGGUAAAGUCACGAUCUCUUCCUUUUGGGUUGUAGUGUCUUCAGUUUGUUCGAAAUGUACUCAAUGAUCUCCUUCAAGCUAGCUUUUCUUCCUUUCUGACAGUCCCACAAUUCAGAAACUGGAUAUCUUCCACUAGGAUUGUACUCGUUCAAUUCCAUUAGUGCAUUUGUUACGGCCUGGUAGACGUCUUCCCCGUAUUCACUCCUUAGCUGUUUCAACUUUUCAUCAUUGUCAUCUAUAAUUUCCUGCACUCAUUAGAAACUGAAAUUCAGGGAACAGAUCCAACAGUAUGUGUUUUACUUGGGUAUUUGCUAAAUUAUGAUGCGUAAUCUCAAAUUAAAUCUGCACGUGUUUUCCUCCUUUCGACAAAUAUAAGUAGCUUCUACUAUGACGAAUAGUCAAUUAUCUAUGGCCCAAGCAAUCAGAAACUGCGACAUCCCAAAAUGACUGUCCAUUAAUCAUUUUGGAAGUAUGACAAGGUUGAUUGCAUUUCAUAAACAUAAGAACGAUAAAACUUUUGGAAUCAGAUACUUUUUGUGCAAGUUAAAAAGUGUUUUGAUGGUAUUUAGGAAGAGAGGCUUACAAUCAAUCUUCCACGGUUUUCAACUCUCUUAAAAGGAUGCCAGUUUGCACUUCGCACAUUUUCUUCCCACAGUGAACAUAGCUUUAAAGAUUCAGCGUGCCUGUCUUCACUAGAGCACUUCUUCGAGAACAAAGCUUCAAAGGGUUUUGUAUCAAUCUGUCCCAUUCUUUUGAUUUGGAACUUUCUGAGGUGGUGAGUGGACAAGCCCUGCAAAGCCUGGUGGGGAAGAUUGUAGAAGUUGAAGGGAAGGUCUUAUAUUUUAGAUCUUAUAAACAGAACAACAAUUAAGGAGUCAACACAUUUUGAACAAAAGGAAAUACUAAAGUUCAAGAAAAGGAUACUUGAUCAUACUCUUAUAGCUUCUUUGCGAGCAUCUUGAAGUUCAUCAUUCAUCAUGCGCUCUUUAGUGAUGAGAGCUUGAUGUUCAUCUUCCAUGUCAGAAAUUUUAUCUUCCAAGGCUUUCAAAUAUACCUUCAAUUGCAUAAGCUAUAGGAAUCCAACGAUUAGGGAGAGAUGGACUAAAGGCAUGACACAUUCAAGAUUCAAGAAUAGCACUGAUAAAUUGCGAAUGAACUGGUCCUAAAUAUAUUUGACUGGGAGCAUCAAAGAGGAUGCUUUUUAAUGACAGAUAAUCAUUUUCAAAUGUCAAAGAACUUAAAAAUGGAUGAACAUUCUUCCUCACACAAUCACACCUUAAGACGUCUGUAAUCAACAGCAUUGUGUGCUUUACUUUCAUUUGGAUUCUCACAACAGCUCAUGAAAAUUUGUUUAGUAUCAGAGAGGACUGUACUAGUCGCCGCCUCUAGGUAAUUUGACAGAAAGACAGAUAAACAGGUGCAUUCGCAUAGAUGAGACACGGAAACUGUACCUCAUCCUUGUUACCCAUGGUAUGCUGUCCAUUGAGGUCCGUUUUGGAGUCAAAUUCCUCGAUUUCAUUGAUUGCUUGCUCUAAGUUCAUCUUCUGAGAUUCCACUACACAUCCCAUGUCACUGUUCUCUUGCUUUCUGCCUUGUGCAACUACGGUUCCUUGCACUAGUUACAGCACACAAGUAGACAUAUAAAAGAAUUCUUAAAUAUCUUAGCUAAGAAAAUUCUUAAAGAGACAUACGUUGCAAGAUAUAGCUAAGAAAAUUCUGUUCUGAAUCACAAGAAACAUGGUUGUAGAAAUAAGCUAAGAGCAUAUAUUACACUCUGGCUGCAGUUUAAACUUUUUACUCACAGUGAUUGAAUUCUUCCUUGCCUUGCUGCUCAAGUUCUUUCUUUUGGAAUUCCAUCCUGCUCUUCAGCUUUUCAAGUUCUAGCUUGAAGUUUUGCUUUGCUUCAAGAGCUGUGAAAUUGCCAUUUUGAAUCGAAAUUUAAAAUUCACCAAUCAGCAUACCAAGCAAUCAGAACUAGGCAGUAUGCACUUGUUAAGAAAGAAAAGAAAAAGUACUAUGCACCCGUUAAGUUUCACCCUUAGAGCAGUUUGACAUUUCUCAAUGGUCAUUUAAUUGUUAACCAACUAAUUUCUUAGUUCAGGAUGAUGCCGAGUUUUUUUUUUUUUUUUUUUUGGGUAUAUGGAUAAUUUACAUCUUAGAACAUUCAAACCAUCAAACAGAAGUUGUCCCUCAAGUCGUUGAAGUCCAGCUCUAGCGCAGUGCAGUGAAGACUACUAGUAGUAUAAUGCAGCAAGGAUGUUGUGGUAGACACACCUUCUUUAAGCAGGAUGUCCUUCUCUUUCAUUAUACUCUCCAUCUCCAGCAACUUUUCAUUCUUGUUGUCAAUCUCCCUUGCCAGAGCAAUGCAGAGUCUUCGCUGUUUUUUGAACACCUCCUCACCAAUGCAAUCCAUUUGAACGUUGAUCUGUUUUUGCUAACGCCAAUCAACCAAGAAACAUGAAGUUUAUAGAAAACACAAAAUUCUAAGCUGAAAAGAAAGGUGAUCAACGCGGACGAUUAACUAAAUUGUAGAACUCGUCAAUUAAGAUUAAAAACUAGAAGCAGAGGCCAACGAAGAAAAGCAGCAUUAGUUACCUUAGUUCUUCGACAUUCAGAAAUUGUUCGUUCAAUUGCCCGGACAUGGAGUUCUGAUUUUUUAUUUUUUUUUGGUUGGGUGUUAAUAUAAUAAUCCAACAAUUAAUCCAUUCAUAUUUGAUAAAUGAGGAGCAAGAUUCCUUUUUGAAGUGAUACAUGUUAAACUUUUCUUAAUACUGAAGUGGGGAUCCUAAGAUUAAUGGUGUUGAUGAGUGCUGUAAAACUUGUACCAGGUUCCCAAGGGCCAAGGCCAACUGCUGUACCUUUCUUAUUCCCACUCUCAUCUCAUGUCAUGACUCUUAACAAUUCAAAGUCUUUUUUUGAUGCUCUUUUUUAAAGCUUACUUGGCUUUUGGUGCUUUUUAUACUUGCAAUUCUUGCUGUCCUGAAGUAAAAUGUGUUAUAGCAAAUAAAGAUGUCUGAACCAACUCUCUCUAGAGGAGUUAGGCCAUCACAUUAAUUGUGGGGUGGGAGGUUAAGAGUUCAAAUCUUGUCUCUCGUCAAUGUGUCUCAAUAUGAGAUUUGUCCUAAAUUCAUACGGAUGUGUGAUGCACCCAUUUGAUCUGAUGAUGGUUCAGUCUCCGUCAGGUUUCUCCGGAAAAAAAAAAAAAAUGAAAGAUGUCUGCAAAAAAGGGGAAAAGGCAAGUCUGUUUCUGGCUUGGGCCAGCUGGGUUGGUGCACACGAUUGAGGCUCCUCUGGAAUUAAGACGAAACUUACCUUGAUCCUUUAGCUUCGUUUGGGCAUGGAUCGAAAAUUCCCAAUUUCCGUUCCUCCCGUUGCAACUUGCACGCCUAUCUUGGAAGAUGGACAGAGACUAUCUAAAGUUCAAAGGCGAAUCAAACUUCUCGACACUUAUCUUGAUACUCAUCUUGGUUGACGAAUAUGAAGUAUUUAAGAUUGAAAUAUGAAUCAACUCCUUGAUAGUAGAAUCGAAUUUCAUUUAAAAUUGGUUCACUAAUUGAUUACACCAAAUUUGAACAUAAAUUUUCAAAUUUGACUUGAUCUUAAUUUGAUUAGCACAAAAACGAAAUUUAUAUGUAAAAAAUUCAAACUAUUCAAUUUUAUCUUUAUAAAACUUGUUUGAAGUUCAUUUGAAAAGUAAAUGAGCCAAAUUUGACCAAAAUUUUGAACCCGUCAAAAUAAUUAAACUUGAAUUAAACUUGAGUACGAGUGUGCAACUUAUUUAAGCUCAUUUACAUCUCCACGAGUAUCUAAGAGCUAACUUAAUCCAUAGGAAUGUUGGUAGGUGCUUGUGAAAUCAUUAGUUCCACUCUUUUGGCUAAGAAUAUUAGUCAAGUGACAGGAACAUCAAUUAUUCAACUCUCAGGACCUCCCCUUCCCAUUUCAAGCAAAUUUACGUGUAGAAAGAGUCGAGGUUGGAUCCCAUUUCGAAAUCUUAUCAAACCAUUCCAUAAUGAGAGCAAUAAAGUACAUUGUUGAAAAUUGAAAUACAAGCUAUCCCUCCCCCCCCCCCCCCCCCAAAAAAAAGUGAUUACGUGCAGACAAUAAUUUACAUGCCAAAGCAAAACCAAGUGCAGGAAUCUAUCGACGUUCAAUCACAUCCUACGCUUGUAAGCCUCAGUAUUCUUCAACUCCUGAGCCAUGCACUGUAUCACCUCCUGCAAACUGGCCUUUCUUCCCUCCUUAAAGUUCCAAAGUUCUUGAACUACAUACCGCCCACUGGGGUUGUACUCGUUUAGUUCCAGCAAUGCAUUGACAACGGCGGCGUAUGGAUCCUCGCCCCAAUCAUGUCUCAGUCGUUUUAACUCCCCAUCAUCUUCAUCAAUAAUUUCCUGUAUCAUGUUUAAACAUUGAAUGACCCAGAUCACAUACAAGUCAAUUUUACAAGAAAACAACUUCCUCGUACCAAAGAGUAUUGCCAUUUUGAGGCAAGCGGAUCACUUGUAAUAAAAAGCGGUAUCAUAUUUUAGCACGAGAAAAGCAUUAUAUUGUUGAUGAAACUGUGACUUCCAUAGAGAAGACUAGCUACAGCAAGUACACAGAAUUAUUGUGGCGCUACCUUUGUAUUCACGAACAGACAAUAUUUUUUGAAAAGACUCUACCUGCCACUUUCCAUCUUUUAAGGUGUUCUUGAAUGGUUGCCAGCCUGGGUUGCUUACUUUUUCUUGCCACAAUGAGAUUGAUUCCACUGAUCUAACCUCCCAGUCUGAGCGAGAAAACUUCUUUGCACAAACGUCUUGAAAAGGUUUUUGGUCAACCUCUCCCAUCCUUUUAACUCCAAUUGUGGUUCUAUCCACUAAAUUUGACAAAACCUGUACAAUACGACCAGAACAAUCUUAUAUUUAGUAUUCUGAACCCAAAGGAUGGUAUUGGAAAGCUGUAAGAGUAAUAAAAUAAUUAGAUAAGCAAGGACAGCCAUGAAUGUGUUGAACUACUAAUUCUCACACUUGUCAAUUCUUUUCGUGCAUCCUGUAACUCAAGGUUACUUGAUCGCUCUUUAAGUAUUAGUGUCUGGUUUAGAGCUUCCAUAUCCUGAAGCUCAUCAUCCUUUUCAGCCAAUGUCUUUUUCAGUACGUCAAUCUGAGCUAUCAGCUGUGUCAAAAAAAUAGUGGGAUUCUAGUUUAAUGAAAAAUAAAAAAACUGGAAUUAAAAAAUAAAGUUAUAUCUGGGACCCAACAAAAAAAACUCUUCAACAAUGGCUGGUUUUAGUCUCAGUUAAAUCAUGUAAAUGCCAAGAGAACAAGUUUUGGCAUUGAAAUAAUUUGAAAGGCCCUGCAUAAGAUAUCAUGAGCUUGCAUGUAAACAGAGCUCCCAGUAACUAAAGCAAGCAGAAGAUUUUAUACAUUCCCAUCCUAGCAAUUCUGGGCUAAUAGGACAUAGCCAAACUAAGAGAAUGCCGAAUAAGAAGCAGUCAAAAGAUUGUAGACAGUUUCGAAAGACACGUGUUAUUAGCUACUUAAAGCUGCAUGUAACCAAUCUAUUGAAAUCAGAGAACAGUUAUGAAAACCAUUUCUUCACAAAUUAGAGUUGCCCAUAUGGACAAAGAAUAAAGGCUCCUCAUAGUGACAUGCAACUUUACAGUGAUCUUCCCUCACCUCCUUCCAACAACUUGCAAAUGGAUUUCAAGAGUAGGAUUUAAAAGUCACACAAGGAAUUAUUGCAAUGGAUUUCAUAAGUUACAAUAGUACAGUAUAAUUUAAAAGUCACAGAAGGAAAAAAGGAAUUAUACUACACAUAGAGACAUGUGCACAAAAAAGGAAAAAAAUCACACACACACACAAACACACUUUUUUGUAGGUGUGUAUGUCUGUGUGUUCAAGAUGCUUACUUGUUCCUUCUCAAUGCGUAAAGUUUUGUGUUCAAGCUCAGCUUGGCUCUUUUCUCUAUCCUUUAUUUGAUGAUUCAAUUCUUUCUGUAUAUGCACCAAGUCUCCCAUCAGCCUUUCAUUUCCUUGCUCUGCAAGAUGCAUCUUCCUUCUUUGAUGGUCCAAUUCACGCCUCAAGAUUUUAAUUUGUAGACUAAUCUGUUGCAUCUUCCUCAAUUCUGAAAAAGUGCACUACAUGAAAUGAUUAACUACUGAGCACUUCUGGAAGCUGUAUAAUAGAUUUUACCAACAGAAAGACAAUAUCAGCAGCCACAAUCUACCAAGUUUAAAAAUGCAUCUCUUCAUGAUUCUUUUUGUUAGGUUUCACUCUGCAGAACAUAUAUUUAUAGAAUAUAAUAACCUUGGAGCAGAUGAACUCUUGAAUUCAUUUUAACGCUUGGAGACUUCUGAAAUAAAAUGUUAAGAAAUCAGUUGUUUGGAUAAAAUGCAGUUCAGAUCAUACAGAAACUUGUCAAAACUUUUGCAACAGUUUGUCAAUGAAAUUCUGAGAAUGUUACUUUGUUAAAAUGAUGAACUUGCAGUGAAUCUCUCAAAUCAAGGAAAAACGUAAUAUGCAGAGUUAUUAUGUAAAUUUACUGCUAUCUAUAGUGAUAUCCAGGAGAUUGCUAUAAGCUAUUCAGUUAUCCUGUUUGUCAAAGAAGCACAAAAGUACCAACACAUCUCCUAUAGUCCAUGUUAGCUGUGGGGAACAGUACUGUUUGGCUUAAGUGAAAGAUUCAUUGCUUCUUCAUGCAUAAAUUUUUAAGCUUUCACAAAGCAUAAACCUUUUAGCCUUCAAGUACUGACCUCCAUCACCCACACCUUUUUUACAAGAUAUGGAGAACUGUAAAAUAUGGAGGUGUAUGAAAUCUACCAUGCUUCUUGCAAGACAUUACAAAAUUGAUGAUUAGGUGUUUAGCUUUGCUAUUGUAUUGCUGGAACUUUAUAUCCUUCUCUUGUUGUUAGUCUAGACUAAAACAUACUGAUGAUUUUUUUUUUAUAUAUCAAUCAUUGUACCUGCAGCUAAUUUUUCCCACUUCCACAUCGUUGAAAUACACAGAGUUGACAGCCUUAAGGGCCUUCUGACAAUAUGAUCUGUGACAAUAGUAAUUUAAUUGGGCUGACUUUCUUCCAGCUAAGUCAUAGUAACGCCUUCUCUCAAGAUAAUGUGGCCUCAGCCAAAAAAAAAGGACAAAGUAAAACAUGUUGUGUGCAUUUGUGUGAAGAUAACAACAUUUCCAUUCCCUCACCAAAUUGGUUUAAAUAUUUGAGUUUAGAAAAAUACUCUUUAUAGAUUUUUCCUCUGCCGGAAAUAUACAAGAGGUGCUAUCUGUUCCAGGCUUUCACCAUCCUUGCCACUAAAGCUGGAAGAAGUGCUGCAGUUUCCUGAAAAAAAAAAAACAGCAGAAAAGCAUUUGAAUUUAUGCUCUAAGAUACAAGGGGCACCAUUCAAAAUGUCAACAUGGUAUAGUCACACUGGGAAGGAAAAGUAACUAACUUAAGAUAGCUAGAAGGUUCUUAAGCUCCAGUCAGAUCUAUGAGUCUGAAUAAGGGGUGGCUUAUGAAUAGGCUGAGCCUUGCUUCACGGAUUUUGGAAAUAUAUAUAGGUAGACUGUAAUAGAAGUGAACUUGCAAUUGUAAAUUACUGUUUUUUUUCUAUUUAUGGAAAAAGAGGAAAUUCCAGCCCAAGAUGCUGGAGCAGGACAUGCUCCAAAAACAGAUCUCUUACGUUGUUCUUCCUCCAGAAAAGCCGUGUAGCGGCUCUCUUUCAAGGCCUGCUUAAGUUGCUUUACUUCCAUAUCUGACAAACCCUUCUGAUCAAUAUCCUGCCCAUCAUCAUCGUCAUUGCAGUUAAUAACAUUCGCCUCAGUAGACAAACUUCGACCGCAACCUACUGUAACAGGGCGGGAUCUAGAAACAUGACUCUUGUGGUGUAAUUCCUCAAUUAGAGCCGUUUGACGACUCUCUUCCAUGGCUAACAUAAGUUGCAUUUUUUCCAAAGAUAACAAUUCAUCUUCAAGAGUAUCACAUUCACUUUCAUCAUCAUUCUCAUCAUCAGUAGCAUGCAUGUACCCACACAAACUUCUAUUGUAGAAAGCAUUGAGAGCUGCUGCCUUUCUCUUUUUCAUUGUUGCCCUUUCGCUUUUCCCAUCAUUUAGAUGCUUCUUCAAUUCCAAUGUCACAUCUGGAGGAGAUCCAGGACAAGCUCCCACUUGUCCAGCAAUGUGAGCAAUGUGCUGUUUCAAUCUAGUUAUUCCCCCAUGUAUAAUCUUCCCACAGUAACGGCAUUGGACAAUUUUCUUAUCCCCCCCCUGGCUCAGCGUGCUCCCAACCAAUAUCUCUUUUUGGUGCCAUUCUGAGAAUUUGCAAGAAAUUGAGAUUAAUAAAAGUCACACUUGUAUACAUUAUUCUAAACUUAGGUUUCUUUUUUUUGAACACGGGAAUUGGCAAUUUGGCAUCAUUUGCUCAAACUUACCAUGCUCUCCAUGUAGUUAAUAUCUUGGUGCACUGAAGUAGAGCUGAAAACUUGGAUGGGACUCUAGCACUCUGGUAUUGAAGAAUCAAGAGAUACUUGGUAUCCGCAGUUUUACUUUUACCAAGCAGAGCCAAGAUCUUGUCAUGAAGCCUAUAACUUCCAAACGGACAAGUGAAACAGCUAUAUAUCAUUACAGACCCUGAUACAUAUUAUAAUAACACAAGUUGUUUCUUCUCCAUAGAAUUGCAGGUACGUAAGACAACUUAGAAUCUAGAAAGGUAUAUGAUGCUUUUUUCUCACUGACCUCAGUAGGUCUAAUUUCAUAUCCAAUCAAAGAUAUUUUAACAACAUUUGCUCAUAACUUCUAAAGAAUAAUACGACCCUGAAAUCUGUUAUUCACAUAUUCAAAGUGGAAAAGUAGGAAUAGCCUCUAAAAGUAUACCAAUCCAUCCAAAAUUAUGUGUUCAUAAACCUCUUAGACAAAUAUGUAAUACUGCAUGAUUCUGAACCAUCAUUGGUUUCAUGCAUCAGAUGAGUUCAGUAAGCUAAAACCAGAACAAAGCUUUAGACAUUAAUCAACAUGCUAACAAGCCCUGUACUUGUCCCACAUUUUCCCUACUUAAGAAGACUUAAUAUGAAAGCAUAAAACUAGAAUUAACCGAUUAUUCUCAACCAGAACUGCACAGCGACCAUAGCUCAGAGCUACUUUGUGAAAUCGCAACUUCCAUGUAAUUUAACAUAAUACUGCUACAUAAUUGCCAAGAAGCUGUACCUUUGUGCGGAGCUUAUAUAUUAUAUCGUGCUGAACUUAGUUUAAAAACGAGCUUGGAGCAAAUGUAAGAAGAAAAACAGAAAAAAUGCGGAGGAGCUUCUGAAAAUGAUGCUGAGCUGAGGUACCAACCUCGAAAGAGAAGUCGAAACUUGACCAGCAUUAGUAAAGUUGCUUUACUUGCGAAGUUCUCGGUGGCAGAACCGAUGGUUUACGAAAAGCGUUCUCGUCCGAGUCACGAUCCAUAUGUUCAUGACGGCCGAUACGCGGCGUUUUUGUAAUUCCGUGUGCAUGCCGAAAAGUGACGGGUGAAGCCUCGAAAAUUUUGGAAUCUGGCAGCCCAUUUACAUGUUAGACUCCUUCCUCCAGGUCCAAAAUUGCUGACCCGAUGAUCUCAAAUUGGGCAAGGAGUAACGGACCAACAGCAAGGAAGGAAGGUCUAGAGUCAAAUGGGAUUUGGGCCCCGUUAGAUUUUGAGACCCACCAGUUAAGCUGGAGGGCAUUUAGAGGAUGGGCAGGAAUCAUCAGAAUCAAACCGUUGUGAUUUAUAUUGGCAGUGGCCUAAAAAUGAAUUUUGUAGAAGUGUAUGGCUUUGAAUUUUGAUUUACUGCUCGUGAACAAACUUAAAAAGAAAUGUAUUUUUGUUUGGUUAGUUGAUGCUCACAAUGUAUCCAAUACUUAGUAGUACAUUGUUUGGAACAAUUAAAACUGAUAAUUUUUCCUCCCAAAAAACCAGAAGAAUUUAGCAUUAAAAUCCUUCUCUUUUUUGGCCUCGAGGACAUUAAGCCACUUUGAUUGUGGUGGCUUUUACAGGUUUGGCUGACGCUUGGGUAAGGUUUCAUCGGAGGUUAAUCGUCAUAUGUUACGUUUCAAGUGGCUCAAGAUAAAUUGUUAAUAUGAUGGCCAAAGUUUACUUGUAUUCUAGAAGCUAUAUGGUGUAUCCCCAGCAAGAAGUAAAAUAUAUGCACCCACUCUCUACGAAUUGCCAGGAAUGACAAGAGUUUUAAUGCUGAAACACCAAUUUCAUAUAAACAGAGACAUGUACUUCCAUGACCAAGAGGUUGGUUCUUCUACCUUAUAAAUUAUACUAGUAAUGGACAUCCUUUUUGAAUGCUCAGACAGCCGGCAGCAGCAGUUCUGCACCUCUAAGAAAAGCCAUUCGCAAAGUCCAAAUGGAUCAGCGGAAAAUUACUUUAAAAGAAGACAUUACUGGAUCCUGUUCUCAGCUCCUACAUAAUCAUGUGGCAUUUGGUAUUCAUGUUGACACUCGCCUCCGCCGUUUCGCGGAGUUGAGAGUCUUCAACAGUUGAGCUAAGCAUUGGAUCACCUCUUUUAGACUAGCUUUUCUGCCCUCCUUGAAGUUCCAAAGCUCUGAAACUGCAUACCGCCCGCUUGGAUUGUACUCGUUCAGUUCUAACAAAGCAUUUGCGACUGCAUUGUAUACACCCUCACCCCACUGGCUUCUCAAUUCUUUCAACUUGCUGUCUUGUUCAUCAAUCACUUCCUGCAUCGCCAAGACAUAAACUUGCAAUGGCGCCUUCCACAUUCGCAGUAAGAUAAAGGUAAUGGAGACACUAGAAGAAUCAAAUAUGUAUUUGUUAUUGCUCGUUAGCAUGCUCUCUCUCCCGCAUAAGAGUCAGUCACAGAAACAAAUUUUUGGUUGCAUUCCAAUCCAAGAAGCAGUCUCAUGACUUUUCCACCCUAAUCAAAGUCUAGUAUCCAAACUUGGGUAAUAACUUGACCAGGAAAGAAGAAAUUUAAGAAGUACAUAAUAUGUUCUCAGCAGGGUCUAAAGAAAUUAGAGGCAGAAUUCAUUUCUUGAACUCAAAAUGAGUCCACUAGCAAUGCUUUUGACUAUAUCCUAACUCUCAACCCACUAUGAACACACACUAUUACCAACAAUAAUAGGCCAAAUCUCAAAUAAUUUAGACAGAAAAAUAAAAUAGUGUUAAAGCAAGUAUAGUUUCAUCCAUACAACAAUUUCUUUGAUAUUGCCUUCGCUCUCCCCAUAUGGACAGUCGCUUACCAUUCAAGCAAUAAUAUAGCAUACCAAUUUCAACUAAUCCAAGACAGAAGAAUACGAUUGUGUUAACAUCAACUACAGCUUGAUUGAUAUAUGUCCAGCAUGUACAGGCUUAUCAUCUAGCAGCAAUAAAGGAGACUGGAUCAAAGUCGUGCUCAUCAGCAAAUUGGUGUGGGAGAGAAAGUCAGAAGGUCAGCAAGAGUUUGUGACGAAAAGGAAACAGACCUGGCAUUUUCCAUUUUUAGCAUCUUCUUAAAAGGCUGCCACUUUGGAUCAUUAACCUUUGCUUGCCACACUGAGGUGAGUUCCAGUGACUUCACCAUCCAUUCGUCCCAGAGAAUUUACGUAAGCAAGCAACUUUGAAUGGAUCAACAUCAAUUUCUCCCAUCCUUUUAACCCCAAUACUUUGUCCAUCUAGAAGAGUAGGCAAAACCUGUAUGACCAGUGCCAGAUGUGUCUGUCUAAACCUCAAAUUACACAAGGAAUCCAGAGAAAAGAUUCAACUAAGGAACUUUUAUCAACUUUAAUGUUGUCUAACUAAAUCUUCUGAUUAAAAAGACAUCAAAUUCUUACACUAAUUAAUUCCUUGCGAGCGUCCUGUAGCUCUUCAUUACUUAUGUGCUCCCUCACAAUAAGUGCUUGGUUCAGAGCUUCCAUGUCUUGAACUUCAUCAAUUUUUUCAGCCAAUUUGCUGCUUAGUUCUUCGAUUUCUUGAUUUUUCAACUGCAACAAUCGAGCUAAAAUACCAGUAAUCGAUGUACAAUCAUGUCUUAAAAAAACUUAGCCACUAAGAUGACAGGUUUCAAGUAAGAAUUGGCUUUAUGUAUGUAGGCAUCACAAUGUUAACCUACUCAUGCAAUAGCAAACAUAAAAAGCAGCAGAAGUUUUUCAAGCAUUCAAGAAAUGCUAACAAUAAUAAAAUAAGGAAUGAAGUUUAAAUAUAAAGAUUAGAAUAAAGAACCAAAAUGUGUUAGCAUUCCAAUUGGACAUACAAGUUUGAACAUCAUAUCUAAGAUAAAGUAUAAGAGCUCAAGAGUUCAGAAAGGGCUGUAUCAUGAAGGCUUCUGCCUCUUAAAAUGGCCAACUUAAAUGUUGCAAGAUAAUGAUGGAAAGAAUGCUUACAACGUCACAGUAACAAACAACUUGUAGUGCAUUUGUUACCCAACAGGAAUGUAAUAAAACUGAGUGUCUACUCAAGCCUCAAAUGACAUCAUUCUGUAUAUUUCAGAUCAUUUACAACCAAUGAUGAUCAAAACCUGAUUAGUUCUAUUCCUCAUUUCUUUAUGCGUUAAGUUUGUUAUACUGCCCGGGACCCCAAUCUCUCAAGGAUAAGGCCAAAAAAGACAAGAAAGAUAUCUGGUAGAAGAAUUGAACAUGGAGACCAUGCAACCGGUUUGUCUACCACAUUUUAAUAGUUAGUUUCUCACUUUCUCUGUUUCCUUUAUGUGACACUAUGCUACCUAUUUGCCUGACCUCCAUUCCCGCACGAGAUGCUCAUUAGACACAAACUAUGAACAGAAUCUGAAACUGAACAGCUGUACCUUGUCCUUCUCCACAAGUAAAUUUAUGGGUUCAAGGUCACCUUGGCUCUGUUUUUUGUCCUGCUUUGCUAGAGUUGCUAGUUCUUCCUGCAUGCUUGCCAAUUCUUGCCUCAGACUUGUGUUUUGCAUCCCAAAAUUUCUCAGUUGCAAGUUCAAGCUGCACCUCAUCUUUGCCAUUUCUGAUUCAUUCAGAUGCAACUUCCUCAUCACUACAAAGUACAUAAGAACAUUGUAGGGAGUGUCGUUACAAAGUACACCAACUAACAUUGCAAGACGCCGUUUAGACAUGUAUACAGAUCAAGUCAACUGUCACUUCUCUGUUUUUCAUCAAUGACAAAGGUGAGGAUGUGGGAACAGAACUAAGAAACACAAAAUAUGCUUUAAGAUGAUCAACAUGAGCUAGAACAUGUUUCCAGUACUGUGCAGUCCCAAAAAGAAUUAACUGCUGGCUAUAAAAAAGGACAUGAUACUGAAUGAUUUUAGUGCGAAACUACAUGAAUCAAAUUUACAAAUAGCAAAGAAAUCUCAGUAGUGAAGUUGAGUAACAAUGUAUCACAUCAAAGACUAGUUGCCAAAUAAGAGGUUGGAUAGAGAGUCAGGCAGCUUUUUGCAUUUCUGAAUACUUUUAACUUUUCUUUUCUUUUUUGUCAAACUCCAAAUACUAGUUUUACACAUAGCAGAGUUUACACACAAGUUUCUACGACAGAAACAACACAGGAAAAUAGUUUCUUGAUAGAAAGGAUCCACACAUUGCAUUCAUAGAAAAAGAAAAAACAGAGGUCUGCAGCAAAAAACAGUUGCUCCUCUGGAUUCUAUAAAUUAAGCUGAGAUGCUCAAUAGUCUAUUAGCAAGCUCCACUAGCCUUCUGUAUACCCUAAUAACAAAGACAAUUCUGCAAAAUUAUCUUGUUCUAAUCAUUCAAUAGCUUCCAGAUGCAUUUUACAUGGGCCAGUGUAAAUCUGAUUUAAUUCAUUUCCUCCAAAACUCUUUUGCUGCAUUUGCUCGACAAAUUAUGUAUUUUAUGAAAACAAAAAUAUCAAUUAGCAAUCUUGACGGCUUUGUUUGAAAUCCUGAACUACAACAACAUAUAUUUCGGAUACUUAGAAUACGAGGGCAGUUCACAAUAUUAUUUACCAACCUAAAGCAAUUAUCUAGUCCUGUAAGUGAAUUAAUAGUAUGAUAUCAGUCAAAAAUGGACGGACAAUAUCUAAAAUGUCAACCGAGAUAGCAAUUUUUAGUUGUCAACUGAGAAUGCGCGUAAUUAAGAUACCAGUCAAAAAAGGUGGUAUUAACUAUAGGUCAUGAUACCAGUUACAAAGGUGAUACGAAGCGUAAAGCCAUAAACACAAAGAAAAGGGCAGCCCUUGGCAUUAGCAAGCAUAAGACGAACCCAAAGACUCUUAUAAACAAUAGUCGAUUCAUCAAUGUCUCCACAAACAUUUCAAAAAUCCCAUUUAACAUAAUAGAAAAAAGAUAUCUCGACAGCAGCCAGUAUAUUCACUGGAGAAAGGGGGGGGGUAUUAUUUAGUUACCUUGACCAUAAGAUUGCUGAAGCUUUUGUUUUUGGGCAACGACCCUGGAGAGAGCAGCUGAAGCCUCGUCAUUCUGGCGCCGAAUUUCAAGCAACAUUUGGUUCUUGCAUCAACUUCUCGGGCCAGGCUCACUGCAAAACGUCGCGCGUUCUUGAGUUCUUCAACAAUCAUGGGAUUACCAGUAACACCAGUACCAUUGCCUUUCUCCAUUUGAUUUUCUCUCUCUUUGUUCUUUUUCAGCCAAUUCCCCAGCGUCCCUUAUGCUUUCUCCCCUUCGCCACAAAAUCCCAAGAUGUGAAAACUAAUCGAUGUACGGGACAUUUAGCAGCUGAAAUGAACUUUCAAGAAAUUCAUCAUGGGCUCCCGUCCUUCCUGAAUCCUUCCCGGAUGACAGGGUGAGGGUUGGUAUAAGCUACGUUACAUUAUUACUAGUGUGAAUAUUCGUGCUACGCACGGUGCUGACAUUAUUGAAAAAAAUAAAAUGAUGAACAAAUAAAGAUGAAAAAAUUGAACCAACCAAAUUUAAAUGUAAUAUCUGUUUAACAAUAGUUUGAAAUAUAAUAGAAUGUGUAUAUCGUUCAAGAACUGUCUUUUUUUGGAAGAUGGAUCCUGAAAAAAAAAUUAAAAUUUAUAUUAAAAAAGUAAAUGAUAUAUUUCUACAAAUGAAUGUUGUUAAAAUGAAAUACUUACAAAUACUAAACAUUCGAUUUGAUAAGCAUUCGAUUUGAUAAUCUUUCUUGAAGGUGCGAACACUCUUCACACCAAUCCACUUUUAGUAUGAAAGUCAAAAUUGAUGAUUUAAUUAACUAUGUUGAAUUUUGUGGAGUGCAUACUACAAAUGAAAAUGCACGAUCUUUGACAAUAUUAAAAACUGCAUAUUUACUAUGAUCAUGCAAAAGUAUUGGUGAUGCGGAUGGCUGUCGAACUUGAAGAGAGGCAAUAUUUUCAUUUCUUUCAUCUAGAAAAAAAUAUAUUAAAUAAAAAAUAAAUAGUUUUUGUAUUUAUUUUAUGUGUAGUAAGUGAUACAUUGUAUGAGAAUUGUUAACAAAAAAAUACAAUAGUUAAUAUAGAAGUAGCAUCAAUAGAAUUUAAUACAAUUGUGUUGUAAUCAAAUGAAAAUUACGCACCAAUAGAAUUGUUAUUAGCACCCAUAGUUAAUGAAGUAAUCCCUAUAUAAAUAUAUUUUGGUACAUGUAGACCCCCCAAACCCCGCAAAAUCAACCACCACUUAUUGAAAACAAACCAAUAAAUGCACUAAAAUGCCUCCCAUCUAUACCUCAAAUUGCACUUUAACCACGAAUUUUGUGCGAAAUUAUCCCUCUAAUUGCUUUUGUCCUUUUCGAUUUUUUCACAUGUCGCUAAUUGUUUCAUUCCCUCUGCUAUCGUAACACCUUUUUUAUGUGAUAAAUGUGUAAUAAAAAAUAAUUAAAAAAACUUCAAUAAUACAAACAAAAGAAAUUUUUAUAAUAUACAAUUUAUGUUAGAAAUAGUAAAACCCUCAAUCAUGAACCUAUACCAUCCGCAAUUAUAUAAGAAAGCAAUACCUUAUGUUAGAAAUGUGAUUGUGAUUUUGUGUUUAUACUUUAUCCCACUAUUGAGUAUCUUUGCUUUACAGUGUAACAAUAAGCAAACAACCGUUUAUAGGAUUUUGUAAAAAAUUUUCAAAAAUAAUAGAUGAUCAGAAAAUCAAUGCAAUAUCAUUCAUGACAAAAAGCAAAGCAAAAGCAAAACAUACUUAAAAGGCAGAGGGACCGACCUGGAAAAUUAAGCUGGCAAGAAUAUACUUCCAAUUCUCCGCAAGAAGGUUGAUUUCUGCUGAAGUCUCUGCACAUAAUAUCUUUCACUACUGCUCAUAAAAGAAACAAAAUUAAUACAUUUACAAUAUGAAUAGAGAACCAAAAAUAAAUAAGAAACUGAGAGAGAGUGGGAGUGAGAUAGUGGGAUAGUGGGAAUAGAGAAUUUGUAGGAGUGAUAUAGUAAGAUGAGUUAAGAUAGUGGGAUAGUGGGAGUGAGAUAGUGGGAAUAUUGAUGGGUGAUAAGGUGGGUUAUAACUUACUACAUUUUAUGUAUUAAAAUAAAUACAAAAAUCUAGAAAAAAGAAUGAGAAGUUUAGAAGUCAUUGAGAGGGUUUUUGCUAAAAAUUCCUUCCUGAAUACAUAUAGAUAUAGAUAGAUUUAUUCAUUUAUUUAGUUAAGAAAACAAUUACAAAAUCUUUUCAAGCCAUGACGGUUUUUUAUUAGCAUAUAAGACUCUGUAGUUUCAACUUGUAACCGGGAAUUUUAAAAUACUAGGAAACAUGCACAUGCUGUCAAAAAGACGAAUCUGUACUGCAAAUUGACGUAGCACGCGUACGCAAAUUUUUGCCAAGAGUCCAUCAAAAGCGAACAGACCGCAGUCGUUCGGAGGUCCAGUGACAUGGAAAAUAACUUAAAUUGCCACAUCAUCAAUGGUGGCCCCCUACAUUCACUCGUGUCACCUCCCACCACCUGUAUGUAUUCAUGUGGCAGUUUGGCAAAUGUCGAACCUCUUUUAAGCCUCUAACAAACCAAGUGGCUUAGUUUGGGAGUUUAGGAUAGAAAAGAAAAGAAGGGAAGCUUAAGUUAUGAAAGAAGAGAAGAGAAGGGAAGAGAUUGUUAUGUUGUUUGGGAGCACUUGGGAUCCUCGGUGACAUGUUUUCUAUUCCAACUCAAUGCCACCAAUAGUGUUGCGCCAAGUGUUUUGUUAUUAAUUACACUUUAAUUUUUUAAUAAUUCAACUUGGUUUGAUUUAACACAAAUAUAAAUAAUAACAAGACACUUGGCGCAAUACUAUUGGUGGCAUUGGGUUGGCAUAGAAAACAUGUCACCGAGGAUCCCAAGUGGUUUGGGAGUUUUAAGAAUUAGUGGAAUGAUUUUGGACAUAGAAAUCAUUAAAUAUUUGUUCAAAACCUUUUUAAGGACAAAAUAGGCAUUUUAAAAAAAAUAUCAAGCUUUCUCCAAACUUUCUUCCCAUUUCUUUCCGAUUUGGGAGGAAGCUUUUUUUUAACUAUUCAUCUUUCCAUUUCUUUUCUUUUCUUUCCAACUUGAAACUAACAAAUGAAGCAAAAGUAAACUUUCUCUUCUUUUCCUUUCUUUUCUAUCCAAAUCUUUCACUCCCAAACGAAACUGAACACUUCGUGCCUUCGUCUUAAAUCAGACUGUUCAAUGUUUUGAACCCGUCUCAUCUGCUUCUUGUUUUCAACGCGUCGCAUCUCGUUCCCAGUUUCUGAAAUGUAAUUCUCUUUUUAACUCUGCACAUUUUGGAUUCUUCGCAAUUUACUUCAAUGGCUGUCAAUUUCAAGGUAUUGAUUCCCAGACAUCUCGCAAGAUCAUUGGCGAAAAGUAGGACUUUCCCAAUCCCUUGUAAUUUGCAACAACACCCACAUCCAUCCCAGCAACUAUUUUGAAUGUGGUCCUUGAAUUGCUCUUCAUAAAUCAUCUUACACGAUAAAACAAGAAGUAACAGAUGAUGAGCAGACUGCACGCAACCGUGCAUGAAAGUUCAAUUAUUUGGUCAUUAGAAGUUGGGUUUUACAUGGUCAAGAAGACUGAAUAAAUUAAGGCACAACAGUUUCCCAAUUGUCAGACAAAUCACAACUUUCAAUCGGUCGGGUCUAUCUCUGCAUUUUUUCCAUGUGCAGCUUCCAUUUCUUCAGCAGAAACGCAGCUCCUUCCUUCAAAGUAGCUUUCCUACCUUCAGCGUAGUUCCACAAUUCCGAAGUAAUAUACCUCCCACUUGCGUUGUACUCAUUUAUCUCCAUGAAAGCUGUUGUCACUGCUUUGUAAACUUCAUGGCCGUACUUUUCUUUCAGGUCGUUCAGCUUUUCAUCAUCUUCAUCUAUUACUUCCUACACCAGUAAUCAGCAUUAGAAUAUCGCAACCAUUAGGAAGAAAAAGUGAAGCAAGUACAUUAAAUUUGUUUCAUGAACGAAAAGUCAAUUAAAAGAACAAGUGCAUGUAAUAAGCUUGAAGAUGCAUCAACAGUUAUCCGAGCAGAAGUUGUCAGCAUCAUAUGCCUUUUCUUUUCCCUCUUUCAGAGACUGUACUAACAAAUGACUGUUUCUUUAGAUAAAUCUACACUGUAAAAAAGGUUACUAUUAUCAAAACAACGUAGAUAUGAUUCAGUUGAGAAUGGUGUACUAAGAGAAAAUUCAGAUCUUCAACAAGACCUUUGCACCAUGCAUGAGGAAUUCCAUCAUCUGGACUAAGCUAAAGAAUAUUUCCCAGUUUGCAGUGUCAUUUUGGUUUGGAUCCGGUAAGGUCAAGGCACGUAUAAGUAAAAGCUGAAAAAUAGCAACUACAACUACCACCCUUCCACUGAUGAAGCAUCCCAACCGCAUACAAAUUCUCUGGUGGGAUGUCUACCAUGGAUUUUUUUUUUUUUUUUUUUUUUGGUAAUAAAAAAGUUUGGAUGAUUUUGGCUCUGGUUACCACCAGGACAAUAGGAAGCUACACGGGUACAAAAGAAAAUAAGAAAGCAAUAAAAUAAGUACAAAAGAAAUGCAUAUUUGAUAAAUUGCGUACCUCAUGUUUCCCAUUAACAAGUAUGACUUUUGUAGGAUGCCAUUCAGGAUCUUUAAGGUACUCAUCCCACAAUGAGCACAGUUCAGAAGCCCUUUCCUCGGCAUCUGCUUCAUGUUUAUAUUUUAGCUUCAUGGCUUCAUAAAAUGGUUUAUUGUCGAGUUCACCCAUUCUCUUUAUACCAAUAUAUGCUGAAUUAGGAUAUUCUUUCAAGCCCUGAAACGCAUCUAAAUAAUCAGACUGCAAAGCCUCGGAUCUGAUCAAUAAACCAACCAAACUCUCUACAAUAAUGUAGAAUCAAAUUCCAGGCACCACCAACAGAAGUAGUCAAAAUCAUCAGCCUUAACAUGUAUACAGAGCUGAAAUGAUUAACAUUCUACAGUCUAUAACCACAGCCUCCCAUCCACAGCAAAACGAAAGAAAAGAAAUGCCACGGAAAAUCCAAAAAAAAAAAAGGGAGAAGACAAAAAUUGCUGAGUUCACCUUUACUCUUAUGACAGAUAGAGAGAAGAAUGUAAGAGCCAAAAGUUUAUAAUUUAAAAACUCACUAGUCACCAAGUGUCUUGCAUCAGUUAUAUCAGACAGCAAAAAUUACCAACCACCUUAUUUCACAUGCAUAAAGACUAAUUUCCUUUUUCGUUGUCUGUUUUUAGGGGGGAAAGUUAUUUCACAUCAUUCUCAAGUUUCCAUUAUCUCUGUUGCUAACCUGAAAGAGAUCCCUAUUAUAGAUGCCCCCCGAAUAAUUGAAUCUAGAAUAGUAAUCAGAAUAAUAAGACAUCAAAAUGACAAAGAAUUACAUUAAUCAAUUCUUUUCGAGCAUCCUGCAGCUCUUCAUUGCUCUUCCGUUCCUUAACUAUCAGCGUCUGAUUCAACCUGUCAAAAUCCUCAAGUUCUCCUUCCUUUUCUCUCAACAACUUGUUCAGCGAGUCAGCCUUUUGCAAGACUUCCAGAUCACCUUCGUCUCCCAUGUGCUUCAUAACAUUUAUUGUACCUUUCAAACGUUCAAUUUCUAGCUGCAACGCUUGUUUUGUAUCCAGAUCUUUUUCCAGUUGAAUAAUUCUAUUGAGCAAUUCUUCCUUUUGCUUCUGAAAAAACAAAAACUCACUCAUAUGAUCUCUUAUUAAUUGUUGAACAUUUUAGAAUAAAUCAAUUCUAAUUAGCAAGAAAAGAGAUACUGAAAAUGAUUUAAAAGUAUACCCUCUGUUCUUCAGCCAAUUUCAAUACUUUGGCAUCAACUUUCCUUUGCUCCUCAGAUGCAGCAUCAAUUAAACUAUUUUGGGCCGCAUUCUGGAGAGAAGAAGAUGAGCAUUCUUCAAUGAUUUAUCGUAGUAACUACUGAAAAUCAGCACAAAAAGUUGUAUAUCUUGACUCCGAUCAAUCAGCGAAUAAUAAACUGCUUCCAACAAAUUCCAUUAAUAUGAUAAAAAAGAAUAGGGUUAAAAACAAAAAAGUCUCCUAUAGUAUGCCUAAUACACAGAAAAGCCCCCCCGGUGGUUUCAAAAAAUACAAAAUGAUACCUCAUGUUUUGAAUUAAAUUGUAAACUAACAUAAUUCGUUAAACUUAACGGAAUCCGGUAAAUUAAACGAAAAACUUAACAGAAUCCGGUAAAUUUAACGGUAAACUUAACGGAAUCCGGUAAGUUUAACGGCCGAGACCAUCAUUAUCGUUAAGUUUAACGAAUUCUGUUAGUUUACAAUUUAAUUCAAAACAUAAGGCGUCGUUUUGUAUGUUUUGAAACCAUAGGGGGCUUUUUUGUAUUUAUCCCAAAAGAAUAAGGAAGACAUCUUAACUGAUGCUGUUCAAGACUCAACAGAACAAAAAGAAGGCAAAUUGCGAAGGAGUGGGAAGGGAAGGAAUGGGCAUUGCAGUCCUUCAGUCGUUUUAUUUGGGGGAACAGCAAGGGCCAAAAGAAAGUUCAGCUUGUGUGCCAUUCCUUAGUUCAACUAUUUUCUAUUUUCAUUUGUUAUUUCCUAAAACAGAGAUUGAAGAUGUUAUAACAGUGUCUCAGCUAUAGAACAUUAACUUAUAUUAUUUUCUUAUAAUUUCACCAAGUUUGUCUCUAAUCAUUAAAUGCGAAUUCAUGCCAGCAUUACCAUCUUAAGGCAUAUCAAGUAAAGGAAUUGCCCGCCAUGACUGUCCCUGCUCUGCCACUAAAUUCUGCUCCUAUACAAUCAUCAACCCCCUCUUGACCAUAAAGGCUAUAAACUAUUUCCCUCCAUGAGCACAAAAAGUAUCAUGCAAAUAAAGAUAAAGGUUAGUGGAAGAGUCUGUCAAGUAGGAAUGCAAACUAAGUUCAUAGAUACCAAUUGCUGGGAUAUUUGAACUAAUUUCGCUUCCUAGAUACCAAUUAGUGCUGUAUAUGAACUAGCAUAUUGUGUCAUGGAAUUAUUCUAAGCCCGUAUAUUAACUCUUAUCACCUGUUAUGAUGGCACUACUCACAUGAAGUGUAACCUGGUUUCGAAUGUGACAAGGAAAGGAAUUGAUUGCAUAUUGAGGUCUUGAAACAUGUUAUGUAAAGGAAAAAGAGAAGAAGAGAACUAAAGCAAUUAUGUUCACCUCUUCUAGCUCUUCUAACAGCUUUUUCCUAUCACUUUCAUUUUGAGCUUCUCGUUGCUCCAGUUGUUUACCCCGGAGUUCAAGUUCCUUUUUCUGGUUUUCCAGUUGUGACUUCAUCUUUUCAUGGUCACUGAGAAUCUUUUGGAAAUGCUCCCGAGCAGUAGAUUGAAGCUUCUUUAAUUCUAGAGAAAACAAAAAAGGAUUUAACAAUUUUAAAGCCUAUAAAACUCUUCUCUGUCAAAGAAGUGCAACUGUGAUACCUUCAUUGUAGGCUUGAUGAAGCUUAUUCUUUUCUUCAAUUAAAAUGCCUAGAGAACUCUCAGUCUCCUGGAACUUGCUUUCCAUCUCUUUUACUUGCAUGUUCUUCACCUCAAUAACAUUUGUCAGAUUAUUCACCAGCUUACUUGUCUUCCUAACUUCCUCUUCAAUGAUAUCUGAGAUGGUUCUAAUGUCUCCAAUCUUACGAAGGUUCUCUCCAAUGAUGCCAUCAGACUUGUAGUCAUCCACACGAGCAACCCAAGCAUAAAGAUCAGACUUUAGAGUAUUAUUAGCCAUCCAAUCUCUCUUUCCAUGACGAUCAGCCUCGUAUGCUUUCUCAAAUGACAUGGCAUUUUUAAAUCCAAACCAAUCUUUGGUAAAUUCCACAAGAGCAGUGCCUGAAUGGCCCUGGUAAUUCCACAAAGGGCGCACUCUAGUAGGAUUGAAACCCCUGCUUGUCAACUCAUCCCUAAGAUUGGAACCACUUUUACCCACAUAGCGCCCAUCCUUGAAGUCAGUAGCAAGAUUAACAACAAUGCCAAUCCAGGGCCACACAAACAUCUCAUCACGAUCAUGAUCUGCUAGGGGAUCCACCUCGACUGUAGCCUGUGAUGGACCAGCAGUGACCGACAUAUCCUUCUCCAAGUAUUUUGCCAACGCAAGAUGAUUUGCUUUGUCUCGUGCACUUCGCUUCUUUGAAGUAGAACUCCCAACCCCACUCGCGUGUUGCAAUAUGUCCUUGUAAAGGAAAUCUGCUUUUCUUUUCUUUGGGCAGUAAGGGCAAGUGAAAGCCCCAUCAGAUACCUUAACUUCCUUUUUUCCACUCUUUAAUGCUUGAUAUGAUUUGUCUUCAUACUCUUCAAUUUCAGAUUCACUUAUAUCAGUAUCUUCUCCUGAACUAUGGUCUACCGAGCCUCCCAUCACAUUCAAAGAUACAAAAAUGAACCUGGUGCAUGAAAUGUAGGACCUUUACUUGUCAGCCAAAAAGAAUUAUAAAACAGUUUAUAAGCGCAGAGAAGGGGGGGGGGGAAGGCAUAGCAGGCAGAUUCAUCUUAUCAGCAUGAUGACAAUCCAAACAAGAAAGAUCACUGACAGACAAAGGCACAAAUGACUUCUGAAACAAGAACUGACUAUUUACAUGUACAAGAGACAAUUUCAUCAUUAAAACCAGAAAUAAAAACAUUUGAAUAUCGUGCUUGACGGGGGAUAUGGAGUGUUUUUUAUUUUCUUUUUUCUUCGGUGUUGUUUUUUCCCGGCUGCGGGGGCGGGGGUGGGGCAGGGGCCGGGGCACUCUGAAGUUUACAUGGGUUACAACAAAAGAAAAAAUGAUAAGGAAGAAUAAUAAGUAAUAUGUUGUAACUAAUAUAAACAUCAACCAACAAUCCGUCAAUCAAUCACAUGGAAGAUGAAUGGCUAGAUAGUGGAUAUUUUAUCAACAACGUUUGGCAGGGUAGGAGAUUACAAUUGAAAAGUUCUUUUACUGGAUCACAAUGAAAUCCAAACAAAGAAAUCUCUGCAAUCUAAAAUUUGUCCUAGAGAACUACAAAAUCGAGUACAGAAAGGAAAAGACAGACUCUGUCUUACAAAUAUGCAAUGUAGAGCCUAAUGAGCAGCCACAAGCCACUAGAAACUGUUCAUUCGGUUAUGGUAAGUACACGAAUCCAGAAUAGUGAACAACAAAACUUGCAGCAUAGAAAAUUUCAGCCACUUUUUAAGUUAAGGACAUCAACUUUGAACGGACUAAUUUUCUAAACAUUCCCCAGUUUCAAUAGCAACCAAUUACAUCGUAUCCUAGUUGAACUGAACCUAAAUCUUCAGUCGAUUCAAACUUAUUAUACAUUUAUACAAAAAGGAAUGCAUGCAAUUGAUCAGACAACCACAGGAGCUAAAAUUUAAACAAAUGUCCAAAUGCACACCAGACGAAAACACAUGAAGAUGAUGCAAAACAAACAUAAUCCAUACAAAAAAUAGUUGACUUGGAUUACCUUACUAGCACUUGGGCUUCCUAAAUUUUCUUGCCUUAAUUUUGCACAGUGGACGAAAAGGGAGUUAGGGUUCCUGGGUGGGGGGUUCAGAGCUCAGAUGCAAAACAAAUAGGAAGAGUUGAGCGGAGUGAGACCUGAAAGGAAACUUAAGGUGGCUUUGGGUUUGAUGAGCAGGGACAGAAACCAAGAAUGGUUAAAAGAAAAGUGAAAAUCUUGCGUUCUCAAUGCGAUUCAUUCAAUUAAACUCGCAUUACUAGGGGCCAGACCAGGACUAGUUUUCUUGGGUUCAUGAAUUAUAAGACUUCAGCUGAUCAUCAUCAGUGUGGCAGUUGGUCGAAGGAACGACAAUAACAAGAGAGGCAACGACGGUAAAAGGGGCAGUAAAUGAAAACGCAUACAGGUAAAAGAGAGGUCGUAUUCACGUGCCACAAUAGUCAUCACUUUUAUCGUUCUGAUUUCAGUGCGUCAGUCUCGUACUGCCUACUUGCUUUUGCUUUUGCAGGUUUUGCUCUUGCUCCUUGCCCUAUUAAAUUCAACUCUUAUUAACUCCAAUUUUACCUAGUCGAAGUUAAAUACACACAUCCUUGUUACCAGUUGUUAGUUUUGAAAGUCAUGCUGCUGCCCUGAGCAAUCUACAACUAACUAAUGAUGGUGAUGAGAUUAUUGUAAAAUCUUGACGAAGAAGAUAACAAAAAGAAACUCAAAAAGAACGAAAACAAAAUUUUGGCCACGGAAGUAGUCAUGUUAAAUAAAUUUGUUGAUUUUAUUUGACUGGUCACAAUAUAAAAGGGGAAGUAUCCUUAUAAUACGCGUACCAAUUCACCAUUAAAUAUAUAAAAAAGAGAUAUUGAAUGAUGUGGCGAGAAUUGAUUGGAUUACUGUCAAAAAAGGAACGGUGGAAUUUCCUUUAAUAAGAACUAAUAAAUUUUCAAUCUUUUCCAUCUUUAUUAUUUACAACAAAAGAACAUAACAUGUUUUAAAGGACGAAGUGAACUGAGUAUAUGAGUUUUAAACUUUUGUUUGUGAUGUUUGAAUUACCAGUUUUCUAAUUUUGACAAUAUUCCUUGAUAUAUUUUUCAAUCACAUUUUUAUUUCAUACACGCAUUAAAUUAUUACAAUAUAUUUUUUAUAAAAAUUCUCAACAUUAGAAAAUUCAGAUGGAGAUGAUGAUGUUCAGUAUAUAUAAUAUAUGUAUUGUAUUAGCUUUAUCUUGGUGAACAAAUGAUAGUACCGCAUAUUUAUUUUUUUAAGAUAAGGAAUGGAACAUAACAUUCAGAAAUUUGAGGUUCUAAAUCAUAUAAAGUAUAGGAUCAACUCCAAAAACUCUCAUUUACUAAGAAGAACUUUUUUGUGUUAAGUUGAGUUGACAAAUUAUUACUUACAUAUUAUUGUCUCUUGAUUGCCACAAAUUUUAACAAAAAAUCCUUAGAUUUUCCUUGAUUUCUGCUUGUUUUCUCCUUCCAUUUCAUGAAUGUUUAAAGAUAAAGUGAGUUCAGCCAAAAUCACCAAAACUUAGAGGUUUCUUUCCCCCACAUUUUUCUUGCUUCUCCUUCUCUUUUAUGUAGAUAAUAUAAAUAUACAACUUAAAUUGUCUUUUCAAGUGCUGUCAAUCAUAAAAUAUCGUCAUAUUGGAGUAUCAAUUGGUAUCAUUUUGUAAGUACACUUACAAUGCCUAAUCAGAUAAGAAAUAACCAUUAAUCUUAUUUAAUUAGUUUUAUUGAACUUGUUAAUGCUCUAAUUUUUUUCUCCAAAUUUGUUUACUAACAACCUUAAACUCUAAGGGUCUAUAAGUAAAUUCACCAUAUCUUACGUUGGCAUAGGCUCCAAAAUCAUGUUACGAGAGAUUAGUAGGGAUGGCAAUGGGCAGGGAUCCUUCUCCUGUCCCCGCUCCGUUGUCAAAUAACUCCCCCCGUCCCCGCGCCUUGCCCCCCAUCCCCCGCCCAAUUUCCCGCCGCAAGAAAAGAAAUCAACUUACAAAAAGCAAAACUUUCCUCAUAUGUCCAAGCAUUUUUUAGAACUAACAGGAGAGAGGAAGAAUUCCCAAACACUAACCAAAAAUACAAAAAACAGUUAAAAUCCAGAAAUAACAAAAGGCAAAGAUCAAUGGAAAACAUAAAAAAGAAAAUCAGCAAAAUUAAGGAAAAAACAAACCCAUGGUUUGUUGGAACUGUUUAUAAACAAUAUUAUAGGCCAUGGAAAGAAUUCUUGUUCCAUCAGACUCUCGUAUUUACAUUUUCAUUAAGGCUUUUAGACAAACAUCUUAUAUAUAUAUAUAUAUAUAUAUAUAUAUUUAUGCGGGGGAUGGGGCGGGUGUACGUUGCCCCAACCCCGCGCCCGUUUUAAGGCGGGGGUAAAUAUUUCGCGCCCAUCCCCCGCCCCAUUUUACCCCGCGGAUGGGCACCCGCCCCAUUGCCAUCCCUAGAGAUUAGUAAUAUUUUCAAUCUCAAGGGAAGUGAGUGCAAUUUUUAGAAAUCUCAUGGAAGGUUUCUGCAAUUAUCCCUUGAAUAUUCAUGAACUAUUCAACCAGCUCGCAACCACCAUCAAUGAUCAUAAUAAAAACUUAUUCCGAUGUCAAACUAAACAACAAGAGGAAAUGUCAAAUAUUCGUACUCACGGUGAAGUAGCAAACAAUUCCUAAUAGAUCAAUCCAUAUACAUUUUCUCCUACAACUCUAAAAAGUACCCAUGUACAAGAAAUCAUCACCUUUUAAAUCCCAUAUAUUCACCCUAAUAAAGCUUUAAGUUGUGAUGUGAACAAAAUGUUUUACAAUUAUUAUUUUAUUUUAUUUGGUUCAAAGCAAACUCUCAAUCUUGACUCUCGAGGAAACGUAAGAGGACUUGAAUAAAUGUCUCGCCAUUAAGAUGUUUACGAGUUAGAAAUAUCAAAAUAUUGAGUUGAUGCAAAAAAAUCAGAUUGAUCAUUUAUAUGAUACGUAUACGAAUCCACUAAUGUGGAUAUCCGCAUUAUGCGGAUCGGAUCAAUUAAAUAUUCGAUUCAUAUUUGAUUUUAAAAUUUCCUUAAAAAAUUAAAAAUCAUAAAGAUAAAGUGAAAUUUAAAUGUAUUAGAGUUUCAAAAAUACCAUAUAAGUGAUAUGUUGUACUCGCAUAUAAGUUAUUAAUCAUAAAAUAAAAGAGUUUUUAGUCGAAAAUAUUUUUUUUUGCAAUAUAAAGUAACUAUUAUAUUUUUUCUUUUUCUGAUUCAAACAAAUAAGAAUUAAAUAUCUCAUCUACAAUUUUUUAUCCACAAAUUAUAUGACAAUAUGUUUAAAAACUUAACACCAUAUACAAAAAAAUCUAUUUUGUAAGAUAAUGUAAAAAUAAAAAUAAGAAACAAGAGAUAAAACUAUUAUAAAUAGUAGAUUUAAUUCGCUCUGCAUAUCCGUGGAUUGCAUACAGAUCGGAUUGCAUAUCCGUGGAUCACAAAAAAUAUCUAAAUCCGCUCUGCAUUACUCCUUCAUUUAGAUGUGACCCAGUCCGCAUAAAUAAUCCGCCAAGUCAGAUAUCUGCUAAUUCGGAUUAGAUUAUCGAUUUUUCUGAUCACCGAGUCAAGUUACACAACCUGCCUGCCAUUUGAAUAAAAGUGUAGUAAAAAGGUAAGUAUAAACCAUAAAGGCUCUCUUUGGAUUCAAGAGUUUUUCAAAAUUAAAUUUUUAAAUACUAUUAAAAUUUUUAAAAAAUAUUCUAAAAAGUAAUCUAAUUUUUUUCAUGUUUUAAAAUAUAUUCUAAAAACUCUCUUAUAUUUUUAAAUAUUUUAAAAAUAUUUAAAAAUAUUUUUUAAUAUAUAUUAUAAAAACUCUGCUAUAGUAAAAUUUUUAAAAACACCAUCAAAAAAUAGCUAAUCCAAAUGGACGAAAGUGUUUUUAAAUUAACAAGGAAAAGGUUUAGCACAAUAAACUUUGCAAUGCGGGAAAAGAUGACACAAUUAACUUCCAUCUUGCAUCGCCUACCGGUAAACAGUCUCCAAACUCUCCGACGCAAAAUUCCGGCUGGUGAAACGGUAUCCAAUUAAAUUUGGCAUAUUAUCACUUAGCUGAAACAAUAGAUAGGAAUUACAGAAGAUGUUCACGCAAUUUGGGGCCACGGCGGAGUCUUUGAGCAAAGCCUCAACGAUGGUAUUCCGGAUCGGUACUGACGCUCAUCUUUACGACGACCCCGAUGACGUCAACAUUGCGCCACUCCUCGACAGCAAAUUCGAUUCAGAGAAAUGCGAAGCUCUCAAGCGAUUGCUCGCUCUUAUCGCCCAAGGCUUCGACGUCUCCAAUUUCUUUCCUCAAGUAAAUUACUACUUGCUUCCAUUACUAUUUCUUAUAAUUAUGCUGAAAUCUUCAUAAAUCCGUGCCUAAAUUAAAUAUAUUUCUCAGUACUGUGGGUACAAGCUUGUUAAGUAAGCUUCUGUAAGCGCUUUGAUGAAUUUGUAGGUGGUGAAAAACGUCGCCUCACAGUCAAUCGAGGUGAAGAAGCUCGUAUACUUGUACCUUCUGCACUAUGCUGAAAAGUGCGUUAUUUACUGCUAAUUCCAGUCUCUUUAAGGAAAAAAGAAAAGUUAAUUGCAGUUCGGCCACCUCCAACCCCCCAACCCCUCCCCUCUCAAAUGAUUUUUAAUUUUUAAUAUCUGUUGAUGCAAUAUAGGCGGCCGAAUGAGGCAUUGCUUUCAAUAAACUAUUUUCAGAAGGAUCUGGGGGAUACAAACCCAUUGGUGAGGGCGUGGGCACUUCGGACUAUGGCAGGUAUUCGUUUACAUGUGAUUGCACCGCUUGUUCUGGUAGCAGUUAGUAAAUGCGCGAGGGAUCCAUCGGUAUAUGUUAGAAAGUGUGCUGCCAAUGCACUUCCAAAGGUGCAUGAUUUACGUUUGGAGGAAAACACUGCUGCCAUUGAAGAGGUUGGUGCAGCUUGAGAUAAUGUUGAUGGAUUUACUUCUCCCUUUUUGUGUUUGCAUUUUUUGAUUUCCAAUUACUGCUAUUGAUCUAUAAGUACUUAUAUAACUAAUUAAAGUUAGAAACUGUAGGAAAUACAUUCAUUUGUCUUCAGCACAAGCAUAUCUUUUUAGUGCUUGGUAUGUUAUUUCUACUACGUUUGCUGAUAUCUGUGUCUACUGAAGUUGUACUUUUACAUGCCAUAGAAAGUAAAAAGGAGAAUAUGAAGUAGAAUUCAGAAUCAUAUUGUCUUUUAAUUGGAUUAUCAUACUGUGAUGUGCAGCUUGUUGGGUUUUUGCUUAAUGAUAAUUCUCCCGGAGUUAUUGGAGCUGCUGCAGCUGCAUUUGCUUCUGUUUGUCCAACUAAUUUAUCUCUGAUUGGAAGAAACUAUAGAAGGUUAUGUGAGACUCUUCCUGAUGUCGAAGAAUGGGGUCAAAUUGUGUUGAUUGGUAUUCUUUUACGGUAUGCAAUUGCAAGGCAUGGGCUAGUUAAAGAAUCAAUUAUGUUAUCUUCUCGUGAUUUGGAGAAUAUUGCUUCUGAAAAUGGUGCCUCUGACACCUAUCAAAAAGGAAACGAGGAUUCUAACGCCUACUUUGGACUUAAAGAAAGCAACGCUGACUUGACUAAUGGGGUAUGUAAAUCUGAGGUAGUAGAUAUAGUCUCCAGGAGUUACCUUGAAGGGCCAGAUAAGUACUUAUCCAAGCAUAGAUGUGCAGAUGUGCUUUCGUCCGAGUUAGAGGGUUUGCAUUUCACAUCUGCAAAAGAUAAUGAGGACAUUAAGAUCCUGUUGCUGUGCACUUCACCUUUGCUGUGGAGUCAUAAUAGUGCUGUGGUACUUGCAGCUGCUGGAGUGCACUGGAUAAUGGCACCAAAAGAAGAUAUCCAGAAAAUUGUUAAACCACUUUUAUUUCUUAUGAGAUCCUCAAACUCGUCAAAAUAUGUGGUAUGUAGUUUGUUAUUUACUAUAUUUGUUUGAUAGCCUGAAAUUUUCUGGUUGACUAGUUGCAUAUUUGUUUGGUUUUAAAUUAUAGGUUCUUUCCAUAUUCAAUAUUUGUGUCAAAGGUAAGCCUUUCUUUUAAAAUAAGCUUAUCACUGAGUUAAUUGCCUAAAUAGGAACAUUGAGUGAUAGGUACUGGAUAUUUACUAGAAAAUUGAAGUAUAAUUUGUUUAUAUACUAAUUAGAGACAUGAUGGACUAAACGCAGUGAAAAUCUUCCACUGGAAGCUUUGUAUGUGAUUCCCCCUCUCUUCUGUUGAUAUUUUUUGUGCUACAUGACUUGCUGACAAUAUUUGUUAGGUUCGUUAGUUCCUGUCCUACAUAAAAAAGGAUAAUAAAACCAGCAAAAGUUUAUAGAAAAACUGAUUCAUAUUUCUUAUGGCAGCACCACAUCCAUGUCCCAAGGCAUCUGAUAUGAAAUUUGUAUAGACAGUGAUAGAUGUAGCUAUGAAUUGAACUCAGUGGUUUUAAAUACAUGCAUUAGGAUGGAGAUUGGUGAACCUUAACUGUCUUAUGGUUUUGGGAGUAGUGUUGGAGCCAAGCAUGUUUCCUUUGACCUGCUAUUGCUGUUUAUGUAUAUAGUUGGUCAUGAGAAUGUGGUGAAUGUGAUAGAUUAUACAUAUUAUACCAGAGAAUAGUAAUUGCUAGAAUAGGCUCUGCAUGUUAUUUGUGAUCAGUAUUUGUGGUUUUUGCUUGACCUCCUUUUCAGUUUGCCAGGAUUGAUGCUGCCUCGGGACCUUAUUGCUGAUAAAAUUUGCCCUGAUUAUGUCUUUCCCCUUUUCUGGAAUAGGUUCUCUGCAACAUCCAAGUAUUUUCUAAAGCAGUGCCUUCUCUCUUUGCUCCACAUUUUGAAGACUUCUUCAUGAGCCCUUCAGAUUCAUACCAAGUAAAGGCAUUGAAACUUGAGAUACUUUCCACAAUUGCUACGGAGUCAUCAAUUUCUUCUAUUUUUCAAGAGUUCCAGGUAAUUGCUGCAUAAUUGUCCACCGCAGCAUCAUUAUUGUUUCAAUUUGGAUCUUUGUCCUUGGAAGCCAGUUUUUAAACUGCAUGAUAAUACAUGGUGAUCUUAGGUGUCUACGGGCACCAUCAUCUUGCAAUUGAUGCUUAUCUUCUAGUGUAUUGCUAGGACUAUGUGAAAGAUCCAGACAGGAAAUUUGCUGCAGAUACAGUAGCUGCAAUUGGUUUAUGUGCUCAACAAUUUCCAAAGGUAGCAAAUACAUGUUUGGAAGGGUUAUUGGCCCUUGCAUCACAUGGUAAACAUCAAAGCAUCUAUUUGUUUGGAAAUGAGGGGUGAUUAUUAUUAUUCUCCUGCAAUAAUGGCUUUCAUCACAGAAUCCACAUAUGGUGAUAAUGCAGCUACAGAUGGAGAAGCUAUAGUUUUACUUCAGGCAAUAUAUUCAAUCAAAGCAAUAAUAGGAAAAGAUCCUUCCAGUAACGAAAAGGUAAUUAUCUGGCAAAUUUUGCUUCUGUGCUUGGUCUGAAUUGUACAUGUUUUUGUCUAUUGCUGCUCGCAUAUCGCAUCUUUUGUUGGCAAUAUUGGGACAAACACCAAAUGAUUAAAUUUCAGCCCCUACUACAUUAGUUUGUUCUUAUUUGAAGGUACUCAUAUCACAUAAUACACACUUUUAUUUAGUCUAUGCAUAUAGAUCUUAUUGUAGAACUUUCAACUCAGGAUAGAAUAUGCAAAAUUGGUAUAUUAGUUAGUUCCAUGUGCUAUGGAGAGGAAUUUGUAUGACAACUUUUAAGAUGGAAAAUUACUUAAUUGGAAAAAAUCCCAGUACUACAAUAUUUGUAAAGCUCACUUGUUUGUUUUUCUCCUUGUAUGGAUGAAGGUAAUUGUCCAUUUAAUUCGAAGUUUGGAAUCCAUCCGGGUGCCUGCAGCACGUGGAAUGAUUAUCUGGAUGGUGGGUGAGUACAGUGACAUUGGGAAUGUAAUCCCAAAGGUUUUACCUGUUGUACUUAAGUAUCUAGCAAGAUGCUUUACUGUGGAAGAAGUUGAAACAAAGCUUCAGAUUCUUAAUGCUUGUGGCAAGGUAUUUAACUAAAAAAAUUUUAAUUCUUUAUUUGCCUUUAAUAUUUUUGUUCAUGCAUGAAGGUGGGCAAGAAAUUAUGCUCUGCUCUUCUGGUCUGUUAGUUGACAUGCUUAGUUUUGCAUCGACCAAUUGAAUUUGCUCUAUGAUUGUACCAGUAAUUUAAAUGGUUAGUAUUAUUUUCUAACUGGCUGAGAUGAAAUUCACCAAUUUCUGAGUGGCUUGAUGUACUGUUUUAGGACCAUAUAAAUCUCUAAAGCCCUAUGAUCAUCAAUAAAAGACAAAAUUGUGUGGAUAGUUUUCAAAAGAUUGAGGAUUUAGUGAAGAAGUAGUACAGUCCAAUGGCAUUUGGUGCUUCCAGAUUUAAAUUUGAUCAACUUGAUAUAUAGUAUGGUACUCCAAGAGAAGUAUCUACCUUUCUUGUGGCUGCAAAAAUUGUUCUACAGCACCCAGUAGUGGGAAGAGCCACUCUUUCUGGGUGGUGAUAUACUCCUAUUUGGUUUUCUACCAACAUAGGCAUUUGUUAUUGGUUUCACUGCAUGAUGUCUCCCCCCCCCCCCCUUUUUUUUGGUAUUAUGUGCUUCAUUUAAUCUCAAUGGAGGAGAAGAAAUUUACAGCCUUACUUUGGGCUGGAAUAUGUGUCCACAGACAAGAUUAUCAUGUGGCUUUCUAUCUUGAGUAAUCUAAAUGCUGAAUAUAUAAUUUAUUAGAACCUAAUGGUCAUGAGCAGAAAUGAUAAUCACUAUCAUAACCUUGAGAAACAUUUAAAAUACAGGGUUGUAGGCAAAGUCAGAUGUUGCUGAACUUUGCAGUACACUAAGAGCAAACCUUGCUUGUAAGAAAACAAAAUGUCAAGUUGUCUUGGAUUAGCUGCUUCUCUUGCAUGUAAAGUAUUUGCUCUUGAAUGGUCAUGGAACUGAUCUAAAACAACUAAAAAGUACAUUUAGCUCCCAGGUACAUGUUAGGUUGUGAAUCUUGUUUCACUUCAUCAACCUUUUGCUUUAUUUCUUUACAGGUCCUAUUGCAUUCAAAAGAGGAAGAAUUAUGGGCAUACAGAAAAGUUUUAAGUUACAUGCUUGAUCUUGCUAGAUGUGACUUGAACUAUGAUAUCCGUGACCGUGCUCGUUUUAUAAAGGAACUUCUGUCAUGCUAUAUAGGUUCUUCUGAUACUGAAGAAGGAAAAGCCCAACAAGAGAGCAGGGAUGUUUCACGUGUCCUUGCAGGAAGAAUUUUGGGGACAAAUUAAAGCACCAUCAUCUGAACAGUUUAGUGCUCGCUUCUAUCUUCCUGGUUCGCUCUCACAUGUGGUUCUUCAUGCAGCUCCAGGCUACGAACCUCUUCCAAGACCUUGUAGUCUAAAUUUUGAGGAUCCUAGUAUAAACUCUAAUAUUGUAGAGGGAGCAAAGAGACCAGGCGAUGGUGCUACUCAAAGUGAGUCUUAUACGGAUGAUCCGGAUUCUGUAUCUGGAUCUUUGAAUGAAGAAAGUACCUCAGAUUAUAGCUAUGCAGAUUCGAUUGGUGGUUCAGAUGGUACUGGUGGAGCAAUGUUAGUAGUUCUCUUAGUGAAGUUGAUGUCCAUAAGGAACCACUGAUACAUCUAUCUGAGGUUGGCUAUCCCAAUGCAAAUCCAGAUGGGGGCUCACAUGUGGAUAAUCAAUAUUCUGGCUCCAAUAAUCUUGGGGAACUAAUAUCUACAAGAUCGCUUGAAUCAUGGUUGGAUGAGAACCCAAAUUCAGGCCAUAAUUUGUCUGAACCAAGUUCUAUUAGGAAAUCAUCAGCAAGAAUCUCAAUCGGGCAUAUUCAUGACAGAGUUGAACCUAAAAUAUGUGCACUGCUGGAUCCUGCAAUGGAAAUGGCUUGAGUGUGGAUUAUGCAUUCUCAUCUGAGCUGUCAAGUCUUUCUCCCUUGCUUGUAUGUUUACAAGUUUCCUUCAAGAACUGUUCUACAGAGCCGAUGAUGAAUUUACAAUUGGUAGAAGAUAACAAAAGGCAAGAUUCAUCAGAUCAUGCAUCAGCAAUGACUGAGAGGUGAUAUUAAGCUCCAGUUCUCCUUGGUUUGCACUUCAGUUAACUAUUGUUUGGUCAGACAACCUUAUCCUAAAUUGCAUUUCUCUUCUCAAAAUUUGGGAAUGAAUGUAGAUCAAUUUAUACAACUGGUGUCAUGUCUUCCAGUUAAAAUGGUAAUGGGCGUGUUGAAUAUGUUCAGACCUUUGGUCCAUGACUUGACUUGUUUUGAGCAGUAAAUAUUCUGGUUUAUUAUAAUUUUAUUUUGAUUUUGUGCUUGUAGAUGAAGAACUACUUGAAUCUCACUUCUUCUUCCUCUUUUUUUUUUUGUUUUUAAUUUUUGAUUGGUAUUUGAAUAGAUUGAACUAGUUAGUCGUGCCUUUUUAACAUAUUUUAUGGGGGCUGAAGGCUUGCAAGGAAGUUGAUCGGUGGAAAGUGUGUUGGUCUUCUUGCACGAUUAGUUGUUUUGUUUUGUUGCUUUGUUGGAUUGAGGAUUGGGAGCCAAGGUUCUGGGAUAAUUCUUCUCCUAAAAGCUGGGGAACCUGAGUUGUAUGAGUGGACAUAAAUGGAAUAUAGCACUAGCCAGAUUGCUUGGACAUACUGCCAGGCAGGAAAGAAAUAUGAAAUUUAACUGUUAAACCAAUAAUGUCAGCAUUAGUUGGAGCUUUGUUUUAUUUGUCAAAAGAUCCAACGAAGAGUUACAAAAGAAAGACAUAAUUGAUUAUAGUCUUCUACAUUAGGUUACCUUUAGGUUCUGCCAUUUAUUGAUAGUUUAUUUGUUUGUUUACACUAUGUACUGGUGUUUUUUCUAUUUUAGGAGUGAUGUUUUACAGUUGUAUGAGAAGAGAUAAAAUCUUUUUGAAACCUUUUUAGGUUCAUAAUUCUGAUUCUGCCUCAGAAAUAAAAAAUGUAAAGACUCACAGAGAAACAAGUAUGGGAAUUCUUAAAAGGUUACAUGUCAUUUUUGUUCAUCUUGUGGCCAAAAUGUAUCUAAUAAGCAAGCUUGCUUGAGAAUUCAUGAUUUCUGCUCUCCUAUUAUAUGAUGCGUGUAGAACAUCUAUCAAUUCACCAUCAUCCUAAUGUUUCCAUUGGUAAUUAGUUUCUUUGUUUGUGUCAAUUUGGCCCACAGUUCCUCUCAUGGUGAUGUGCCAAGUCUGGUUCCUAUGGAAGAAAUUGCUAAUUGGGUCCUAGUGAGACUAUCAACAUAAUGCUUCAAGUUCGUUUCCGCCAUCAUCUUUUACCUCUAAAGCUGGUAUUAUGGUGUAAUGGCAAGACUUAUCCAGUUAAGUUGCGACCUGACAUUGGAUAUUUCGUAAGACCUCUUCCAAUGGAUAUUGGAGUGUUUUCUGCCAAGGAAGCUCAGCUGCCUGGGAUGUUUGAGUACACAAGGAGGUGAGUUGUUAACAUCUAGUAAGAAUUUCUCUGUAGUUAUUUGUAUAGCUUAACAUUCGGCUCCUCUUUCUUUUCUUUGCUUUCAUCAUGCAUUAUUUACUUGAAGAAACUUUGAUAGCCAAGUUCUAGAAAUUACAAUUUCUCUGUUCGCCUAGUUUUGGAUUGAUGCAAAAUUUGUGGAGUGAGCAACUUGUGGACCAAAUGCUACAUGGUAUUGGAUAUCUAAAUAGCAAAUGGUUGUAAGUUAGUCCCGUAAUGCAUUGAGCAAGUUCACAUGUGUGCAAGUGUAGGAGCACAUCCAUGAUGCAGAUGUGAGAAACCUCCCACUCCCCCAACUGGCAGCGCUCAAAAAUUUCUUUGUUGUAAAAAAAAGGGAAAAAAAAAGAAAAAACUUGCUUUCAGCAUAGGCAAGGAGGGAAGAAAAGUGAGGGACACAAGCUUGGCAGAGAUUUAAAGCAUUUUUUUUUGGAGAGAGCAGUCCAUGCAUUCUCUUCUUGUCAUUAUUUUCCUCAAACAUGUGUGUAUUUCUUGCAAUGAUGAUUUGCUAAGUUUAUCUUUAUCAUGGAAUUAGACAUUUGAGUAUUUUGUACAAUUUACAAUAGGUGUAUCUUCACGGACCAUAUUGGAGAGCUGAAGAAGGGUGAUAAACCAGGGACAAAUGAUCAAUUUCUAGUCAUCUGCGAGUGUUUGGCAGUAAAGGUGCUGAGUAAUGCGAACUUUUUCCUUGUAUCUGUCGACAUGCCUGUUUCUGCCAAUCUUGAUGAUGCAUCUGGUUUACGUCUAAGAUUUAGUGGUGAGCUCUUGAGUAAUUCAGUUCCCUGCUUAGUUACGCUUGUCCUGGAGGGCACGUGUUUUGAACCACUGAAUAUUUUAGUGAAAGUCAACUGUGAAGAAACUGUAUUUGGUUUGAAUUUGUUAAAUAGAAUUGUGAACCUCUUGGCUGAGCCUGCUCGAGAUAAAAAAUGUAUUAUUUGAACCAUGAGAAGUGAGCCAUAUGAUUUCGUAUCAUGGUGCUCAAUCUCACCUUGGUCUAUUCAGUGGAAAGUUUUUUGCAUGAAUGUUCGAUAGGAUUGGAUGAACCAGAAUUUAUGCUGUCAAAUUACAAGCCCUUCAUGAAAUAUCUUUGCACUAAACAAAGGAGAGGUGAAAGUAUAUGAUGCGUUCUUACAUGCUAAUGCCAAUGACGUUUCUUCGGCUGUUGCUUUAUGUUGCUAACCAGCCUUCCACUUUUCAUCAUAUCUAAACUUGGGAGAGACGCCAGAUGAUUAGAGUGGAAUGAAAGUUCCCGGCAAUGAAACGUGAUUCUUUGUCCCUUGGAAUUAUUUCCGAUGGAAUAUGGAUCUCAUUUUACGGUUCCAUAAAUAGUGAUAGAACACUAAUGUGGCUAGAAGUCAAGGCUACAACUUCUCAUCGUUAAUUGAGGAUGAAAAAGGGCUUCCUUUUGUUUGUUUGUAUUGAUGCUUUACAUCUGUACCUCUUUAGCUUUCACUCAUAAGGAGAGAGGAUAUAACGGAAUUCGAAAUUGUAAGGUUGACUAUCCAUUAUUUUUGCGAUGGGAGAUUUUUUAUCACUGUUUAGGCACUCCAUUAUCAACCUUUUGAGUGACCCUGAUUGUGGCAAUUGGCUGUAUAUCCACUCCAGCGCGAUUCCAUGUUGUCCGCAAAGUCUCUCAUGUGCCACUGCAUUAGUUUGGGCACGAUAAUUCUUUUCUUGCCUGUAACUCCCACAGCUGCUUCCAAAUACUCUACUUUUGCCCUCUCUAGUUCAUUCACUACCUCUCUGGUGUAAAACCCUUAACUGCAAAUUGCAAAAACCACGACCCUUAUCGUCUUCAAGCUUACUAAACUAAAAGGGCUGGUGACCGGAUUUUAUAGUAUUGAUGAACAAAACAGUGCACUCACCGCCGGGGAAGACCAGCAGCCUCGGCAAAGAGCAAAUGUAACGUUGGGUUCUGGAUAUCCAAGACCAUAUGCAUGUCUGAGGAGCAUUUCUCUCACGUGUCAGCCCCUGAUAAUUCGUCAUGCAUAUUUUAACCAAGCUUUAGGUAAGAUUCAUUCUCGUAUAAUAUGUGCUGUUACUGUAUUAAGUUAGCAUCUACUGUCUUUUGAGCAAUUGUAAGCAGAAUAUGUUUCUUGCUUCAUAUUGCUUUUGGAAUCAACCAUUACGAGCAUGUAUGCACUACACCAGAAAAAUGCACUCACUUGUUUUUGCUCCGUAGGAUGACGAAGGAUGAAGUGCUCGAUAGCAAGGGCAUUCAAUACGAUUCCUCCAACAAUUAUCACAGCCUGGGGCAGAAGACAUACACACGUCAAUUUUGAAAAUCACUUCUUCUAUUCGUGGUUAUUUCACUCUGUCUGGUCAGGUAUCUCAAGCUCCUUUUUCAUUAUUUUUCUUGCGUUAGUUUGCCAACUGCAAGUCUUUCCUUUCAAAAUGCUACGACCUUAAUGAGUGCAAUACUGAGUCUUAUGUUCAGUGCAUACCUCGUUCAUGGCUGUGAGUAAUUUGUCCUGGCUAGAAGAAAACCGAGUUGCAGAAAUGCCUGAAUUGAAGAUUCACCCAUUUAUAUCCAUCUCUAUUUUUGUCAAAGAAUGCAAAGAUGUCUACUAUACAUGCAUGAUGCACGCAUUGUAAACGUUUAUCCAGAAAGCUAGCUUCUGUUGUAGCGUCAAGUAUGAUAGGUCCACAUUACUGAGUUUAUGCAUCAAAACCCUGCAAGAAAUUAAAGUAAUUAGUUUGAGUUUCAAUCAGAAACCCUGCAAAAAUGCUUGUAUGUUUGUAGUAUCUCCAAGUCUAACCGCAAUUUUCUCAUUGCUGGAUGACAUUCGGAUAAAUAGCUUUUGUCAACUGAAUUCGUCUGUAAUCUGGAAAAAUCCUUGUAAGUCCAAGUCUCGGAUGCUGCCAUCUAAGUCUUGCAGGAUGCGGUAUGGAUCAAUAUUUGAUUUGUCAGAAUCCAGGAAAAUGGGGAUACAGUGCAAGCUGAAUGAUGUUUUAGACAUGAGGCCUCUUGCGUUUCAUGGAGGAUAAGCUACACUUUGGAACAAUGGCUGAUCCUUUCAUCUCAAAUGAUGCCUGUUUCAUCUCGAGAUAUAUGCCUAUCAUGCACUUGAUCAGUUCUUCAGACAGCUUGUUUGGCUUCUCAAAGUCGAUUUCUAUUUCUAUAUCUAAUGGGAUGCGACUUUCCAACUUCUUGAACUUGAACAUCUUGACUUCUGAUCUAAUAUUUCUGUGCAAAUGGUUUCAUAAUUGGUUAUCAAUAAUUUUGAGAGCAAAAGGCGAAGGAGGGUCAAGCCAAGAGAGGAUCUGUUAAGAAGUAAAUCAGCUUUAUAAAGCAAAAAAGUUUAAAUUUACCACUAGCCGAAGAAAAUGAGCUUCGGAAGUCAAUGGAAGAACGACGGAGGUUCUUCUUUCCUGAAGAUUCUAGGUUUUCUAUUUUGUGGAUAGUCUGUUCGAAUUUUCUGCUUGGAAAUCAAUUCCUUAUUACUCGACGGAGCCACAUCGAGGCGGCAGUUCUUUGAAUCGCCAGCAUUUCCCAUUCCUGGUCUGCUUCUUUUCUUGGUACAGGUUUAGCUUAAGCUCAUCAACCUUUCUCUCCAGCCACAUAAUUUCUUCUUCAAUCAUUGCCAGUUCUUUGAGCAGCACGUGAACCUGCACCGAUUCGAGUCACUAAACACACUCAAUUCUUUCCCUGGAUUUGUCGCCCUUGUGGAUUCAGCUAUGGCUAUUCGUAAUGUUUAAAUAAUCGUUUAAGUUGAAGCAUAGUUAUCAGAAGUCAACAAUUUAACAAAGACAAAAAACUUAAAACAUGCGAUCAAACAAUGAGGAACUUCAUCUCUGUAUUUUACCUUUGCGGAAGCAAGGAAGAAAGACAUUGGCAGGAAUGAAUUGGUUGCUGCCAAGGCGCAUUGCACACUCUCUGCAGUUGUAGUUCCCCGUCCAGCUCUUGCUGCAGUUUUCUACCUGCCAUAAGAUAAUGGUUAUAGAUGGCAGUCACACAUUUAGUCGAUGCCAAAAAAAACAAAAAAAAGGGUCUUUUAGUUCCCACCUCGUCUUCGAGGUCUUGUAUUUUUUGCUUGUCUUCGCUUGGCUGCAUUAGUAAGUCUUCAAAUUUCAUAAUUCAGAAGCCUCAUAAAUUGGCAAUGGAUACCAAAACAUAGAACCAUGAAGUAGACAAGGAGCAAGAAAUGAAUGUGAAUGUAUGAUAAUUUGAGUUGGAUUGGAAGACAAAAAGUCCUGUUGAAUGCGGAGAAAGUGUUGGGCAUCUGAAUAUAUGUGCAAGGUCAUUGGUCAUUUAGGAGAACGUGAGUCCACCUACAAGUGUAAAUUCAACAAUGAGGUGACAGACGUGAAGCCAUGAACAGGUUUAAACAUUCAACGCCGCCGGGAGUCUACGAGAAUCGCAUUGGUUUCAACUUCCAACUUUAGUUGUGGAUGGCUUUCAGUCAACGCAUGACUUUGUAUCAAUUCACGAGUUUGUGUUGAAGUGAUGAUUUUAGAGCACGGUUCCCUUUCAAAUGCGUUUUUACCUUUCUUAAUCAGUUAGCUGUAACCGAGUUGCUUAGCAUUUAGGAAACCUCAAACAAAACCAAAAAGGAAUAUGAUCAGAGUUCCUUAGGGUCCCAAAAAUGAAGGAUGAACUUUGUGUUUGUACAACACAUUCAGAUUUCCAGUUGGAACCGAUGCAAGUGAAAAAUCAUCACUUGAGAAACCUAUAGACAGCUACCGCAGUAUCAGUGCAAGGAGAAAAAUCAUCGGUUCAUCAGUUGGAACUUCCAAAUCAUAAAAACCCAGGGGCAGUUCAUUAGUUACUGGACCAACAUACAUGGAACAACCAGUACGCCGUCUGUGGGAAUCGAACCCACGACCACAUGGUUAAAAGCCAUGCGCUCUACCGGCUGAGCUAAGACGGCGGCCCAUGGAUGAGUGCUAAAUUAUCUAAUAAUUAAGUCUUCUUCUCUAAUUCUGAUAAGGCAUAUAUUUUGGAGUACCAUUAAUUCAUUCUUUUGUUUUCGGUAUAAACCAGAAACAUUACGAGGACUUCUCUGCAAAUGGCCAGCUCAUACCACGGAGGGUUCAUUCCGCUGUAUUUGCUCUCUCUACCUUUGAAUUCUCUGACUGUAUUUUUCAUACACCAAGCGUUGAAAGGACCUCAACAGAACGUAAUGGCUACCGUCUUGCAUUUGGUUUUAGCAGAUGCUAUAUGAUAGUUUUGGGGGAUCAUUUCCCUUUUCCAACUUGAGCAAUCCCCGCCAUGGCUGUAAACUACAGCACACACCAUAUUGUGGUUGGGGUUUACUAGUUCCCAUCACUCCCCGAAUUCCAGUAAUUGCUCAGCAAACUCGGAGGCCACUCAAAAGUCAAAAGAUCAGUUUGUGAACUCAACAAAACACGCAUACUAAACAAGGCGUUCUUUCUAGCACAAAAUGUUACAGAUGCAACUUUGAACAACAUUUUAAUCCUAAUAUCGCAACUCAAGCGAGAUGAAGAGAACUUCUGGUGCAGCUGAAGAUUCAUUCCAGACUAUAUUACAAGAAUCGCAUAUUGCAUAUUGAGCACGCUCAUCUGUCAGAGAAACUAGUAGUCGCUUUCCUUCCAUCCACCAAAUUCUUCUUCGGCAUUGGCGUCCUCCUGUUUCAAGAGAUGCAUCAAAUGACAGAUCAUAAUAUCUCCAAAUGUUGCCAAGAAGCAUAUCUGACAGCAGUUUAUUUGGCGUUGGAUGAAUACCUUUGGAGUAAAAGUAAUCCCAACUUGAAUUUCUCCACUGAAUGUUUGGUCACUGGCAACAAUGCUAUACUUUUGACGAUGUAUUUCAGCUUUUCCAUUCUCCACACCCAGUUCUAGAAGCUCUUUCAGGUAGAUGCUGCAGGUAGACAUGUUAUUAGUGCAGUGCAACUGAAAUUGAUAAGAUACUUGGGGAAAUAGGAUAAAGACAAUAAGGACAUUUCAUUUCUGUGAAUGGCGAAUGCUCUAUAUACACACUUGAGGAUCAUGACCGGUAAGGAUAGAAACCACUUCCGCGGAUAGGGGAUGAACAUUCUUCUUUCAGUUUUCUGUGAGAACUUUCAAAGGAUUCCCGACGUAGUUUCUUAACCGAUGAUGGUAGUGUGUUUUCGAUGCUAAAAUUGCUGGAGUUUAACUUGAGGUUGUUGGUCUAUUAAACUGACUAGCUAAACUAGAUCAUUUCAGCAGGUGCUUUGCAGUAACAAAAUUUGAACAACCGAAUAGGAAAUAAUUAUCACGUCUAGUAACAUAGGAAACGAUUGGGAAAGGAACAGAAUAUGCUAAAUUAUCUUCUUUUUUGGCAAUAAAUUCUAAAUGCCUCACGUGGACUGGCCGAGGUAGUCAUCAGACGAAAAAGUAUCGUGGUCCAUUAUCUUGAGAAUGAGCUUGUACUGGUCAUCUCCUCCUGGAUACUCUGCUCUGAAGGUGAAUUUCUCAUUCCACGCUGGGUUGCUUCCUUGCCCUGCAUAGCAACACAGUCUGUCAAAUCGUUGGAACAGAAGAUUGAUUGCAUAUACAGUCGAGUCGUUACAACUUACAGGGUCAUAUUCUUGUAUUUGAAUUUACAUUACUAUUACUGCUACUUCUUGUCUUACAGAUGUUUGACUAUAUAAUGCGACAACCAAAUUGUAAACGCAGAUUAGACAUUGAAUGAGCCAUAAAUAAAAUGUCAUUACAAAGUCAAGAAAGACAAUUAUGCGUCUCCUACCUAGACAGCUUCCAGGAAACUACACAGAAAGAAAAAAUCCAUAUUAAAGAAGAAAAAAUUGCAAAAAGGGAGUCCCUCUUGAACAAUACACAUCUUGGCAGGCAGUUGUUACUAUUUUCUGACCAUCAAAAGGAGAAGUCGUAGUGUCGUAAUGAUGAACGUGGGUAGGAGGCGGAUUUGGGAAUCCUGUUGAUGGUAGCAUUCAAUUUUGACUAAGUCAGAAAAAAGAAUUGCUUUAAGGUUUAUAUCAGUUGCAUUGAAUAUCUCUCAAGGACCAAACUGACACAGACCGUAAAGCUUGGGAGGCAUUAUUGACAGUUCAACCUUACAAUAUAUAUAUAUAUAUAUAUAUUUUUCUGAAACGUGAAUACACUCGAAUCCUCCUGCAAGAAGAUUGGGCCAAAUUUGUGCUUUUCUUUCUUUCGGGCAAGACGCUCACAUCUGGACUGGGUCAGACACUGGUGCGGAGGCAAGUUUGCUUACUAUUCUGUUGAUACGCUUUUAAAAAGUAGUAGUAAAUGUUUAAUUACGUACCUCGAGCAAUGCUACUUUUGCGCUCUUGGCCUCUGUACUGAAUCAAAACAUAGGGAUCAAUUCCGCCUGCACGGCACGCAAAAAAAAACCACCCUAGUUAACCACCAUGCAUCUCCGGAGUCCAGUCUUGAUGAAGUAGAAGAAGAAAAGAGUAAUACAACGUGGCGACUAGUUUGACUAAGUCUCAAAUAAAAUUCUCCGUCGUUGCCUCAGUCGUGGCAUGUGGAUCGGAAUAAUCGCACAAGGACGAAGUGGGCGUAACAUUUCCACAUCUACACCUUUUGAAUUGUCUCUGUCCUUUUUCAAUUGAAUGAAACUAAUGAAAAAAAAAAUGUAACUCAGGAACAAAUUGUGGUUGGCGCCGGAGGGAGGAGGCCGUCAUGAUUAUAAUGAGAGGCAAAAUCUCGAGAUAUACUUUUGGCUUCAGCAGUAAUUAAGAGGCCAAUUGGUGAUGAAGAAGAGAAUAGAGAUGGGGUUUUAGUGGUCAUCUGAUCAUCAAACUAACAUAAAGAUAAAGAGGGAGAUAAAACUCCGAAGACGCUCAAACCAUCAACAAGAGCAGCAACAUAUGAAGGAGAGAGACCCAGAAGACAAAAGAUGAAACCAUGCACACAAAAAAUCACAGGCAACACAUAUCCCAGGCUCAAAAAACUUGAUCGGGACGGUAAAACAUUAUUGAGUUUCUUCAUCUUUGUUGCAUCGCAUGUGAGAUCAUUAGCUGUUUAAUGGCAGUAGUAACGUGAGAUGAGUGUGGAGUGUGGAGUCGUGCAAUUUUUGCUUACCAAAAAAUUCAGUGUCUUUGAGACCUCGAGCGCCAACUAAAGUCACCUCCAUUAUUCCGAUCGUCAUUUCUCACCGUUCCUCGCAGAGAAGAGAGAGGAGACUGAAGAGAAUCAAUAGUCAAAUUCAACGGAGGCUUCCUUCCUAAUGCGUUAUUUAGUGCUCGUUCAGGAUUCAUUGUCUCACGUUUUCAUUAUAUAUCCAAGGUUUUACGCACACCUGUGACUUGACUUCUCAUUCUCAGCGGAGCGAGUGACAGCCUGUCUUCCAGUAAAACUUUCGUGGCAAUGCCCCACUCAACAGGUUGGCGUUUACACGUAUGAUUCAAAAUUUUCAAAAUCGUGAGAGAACUUGCAUGGCCUUCACAGAAAAUCUGAAAUAAGUAAACCUGUGGGGUUUCUAUCCCACAUCGGUUCGGGGGGGUUUGGGGUUUGGGUUUAUUAAGGUCUGCGGGAGCCUUCAAAAGUUGCCGGCUUUUGAAGGUUUCUCGCAGGUCAACUUUAGUAACGAAAAAGUCUGAGUUUCUCAGUCAUCGGAAAAAACAGAAACCUCGGGAGGUGAUCUCUCCAUUUCAGUGGGUGUCUGGGGGGUCUUUACUUCUUAGCAGCGGGGCACCCCUGUGGGGUUUCUAUCCCACAUCGGUUCGGGGGGUUUGGGGUUUGGGUUUAUUAAGGUCUGCGGGAGCCUUCAAAAGUUGCCGGCUUUUGAAGGUUUCUCGCAGGUCAACUUUAGUAACGAAAAAGUCUGAGUUUCUCAGUCAUCGGAAAAAGUGAGAGAACUUGCAUGCUACCAUACUCGUCUGAUGAUAAAAUAUCACUCCAAAGAAAGUAAAAAAAUUUCAUAGCGAUCAUGUCAGUUUUUUAUUUGACACGAUAAAUUCUAUAUUAUUCGUUCAAGCUGGAAAACAAAGAAAACCUAGUCCGACUGUAACUGCAAGGACAUUUUUAUUUCCCACGAAAAGAAAAAUAUAAGAAACCAUGAAGCCAUUUUUUCAUAGCACACUAGAAAUGCUUGGAUUUAGUACCUUACUUGAAUUUCACACUGAGGAAUUUCACACUCAAUCACAAAAGGGUGACGUAAUACAUAAUUUCUCUUUCGUUUCAUGUGACAAGAAUUAUUGUACUGUCUGUCAUGUUGACUGUCUCUAUACCAUUGUACAUUUGAACUUCUGUAUCAGUGUAUACCAACCAAUGGUUGGAUUUGGGGCAGGACGGUCAUCAGAUCGACCGUCCAUGAGCAGUCCUCUCACAAAAGAAAAUGAAAGAAAUGCAACAAGCCACGUAUAAUGGAGGUAGCAAUAAAGAAAACGAUGCUGUUGGUUCUAUCCAGUCAGAAAUGUGUCAGUGAGUGACGUGGGUUGAUUUGUUUGGAUGGGAGUUUAUUCAGAUGAUUUAUUUAAAAUAAUUAUUGUAAUAUUUUUUGUGAUUCGAUGUAUAUGAAAUAAAAAAAUAAUUAAAAACAUAAAAAAUAAUUAAAAUUUAUAAAACAAAUUAUUUUUUCUCAAAUCAUUUCAAUCCAAACACACACACACACACUGUACUACUGUUUUGCCUUUACCACUUAUGCCGCUAAUAGCGGACAAAGCGCGAAGAUAGUUAAACCACGACAAUCAUCAAAUAUUACAGAUGUUUGUGUCACCUUCCAUUUUGCGUCCGUGCUCCCACAGGAAAACAUGUACGCACAACAAGAAAAGAGGUAGAAACUUAAUGGUAGCGUAACCCAUCAAACGGGUGAGAAUUGACAUUUUCCCCGCACGAAGCCUCACCAAUGAAAAUCCAUACCCAGUUUGACUGCCUAAAAAUUCCAUCAGCGGUUGAAUACACACCACAAGGGAUCCAUCUUAAUUGGAAAAGCUCUGAAGUAGCACAGAGCCUAACUCGAAUUCCACAACUUUGGGAUGAUAUAGACUCCGCCAACCUUUAUUAUCUUUCUCCAUUAUAGUCGACUACAAUGUUGGCAAAAUUGCAAUUGGGCGUAAUAACCAAAAAAAAAAUGAAGAAGAGGAAGCAAAAGACUUUGAAAACUAAUCUAGCCUAACAAUCAACUCUUAUCUAAACUCUCUGGCUGUUGAGAUGAGAUAGUGCAUGCCUUGCAGGCAGGAACAGGCGAAGGUGGAGGUGGUAAGAAAUCUGAUACGCUAAUACGAAAUGUUUGCUGCUUCUCAUCGUUACCAGGUACAUGGAGGAGAGCUUCCAUAAGUAGUAUCUCCCAGUCACGAGGUCGCAAAAAUGAAAACCAGCUGUCAUCUGUUCCACGCAUUGUUACAGCAUGAAAAAACAAGUUAGGUCUGUUGGAACUAAUGUUAAGGAGCUACAACAAAAUAAUGUAAACUUCCUCCCCCAUGGCCCCCCCCCCUCCCUUUUGUUCUGUUGCAUUCCCCUCCCCCUACAUCCUAACUCCCAAAUCAGAUAGAGAAAGCUGCAUUCGGAAUGAUGUAUUAUGAAUAAAUCAGAUAAAAAUUGACCACGAUGGUAACUGACACCAACCUCCAUUACGAACAGCCUUCAACUGUAGGAUUCCAGUGCCUUGUGGUCCAGAAACAGGAAACGUGCACGAAACAGAAUGCCUUUUGAGCUACUGCAAGCGAGGCAUUAUACCAAGGACCUCUUACUAUGGGCUCUCCGAUGGCAUCAAUAAUUGCUUGGCUCUUACUAGCUUUCUCCAUGGCCUUGCUGCUUGGAAUCAAGACAAUAUUCAGAAAUGCUACCAGAACAGCUACAGCAAAUGCAUUACCAGCAUAUCAGAGAAAAUCAAAACACAAAGAUGAAAACAUUCAUUUUCCCCCUCAAUAAUAUUAGAAGCUGGGAAAUCAGACAUGAUUUCCAAGAGCAGCUUCUUUUUGCAUUCAGACAUACGCGAUUGGAGGCAUAUACCUAAACCAAAAGGCUACAUUAAUUAAGUAUAGACACUCACUAAGGAACCAUAAUUCUCAGACGCCUAAGCCAGGACUUAAGAUUGUCCCUAAGACAUAGAUUUACAAGCUUUAAGGAUGUUACAAAAAGAACUGCAAUCCGACUAUCAAUGUUUCAGAAUGUUGCAUCCGAAGAGGAAUAUAUCUAAAUGCUGCCCAUAAAUCCACAUUCAGCUACGUUUUAUUCAAAAUGGAAAAGAAAGCAAUAUAAGUACACUAGAGCAUUUUACUUGAACAAUUUUCCACCUUACUAAAAUACAUAAACUUUUAAUUGAAUAACUUUAGACUAUUUUAACAAUAAUAAGUAUCGUAUGCUGGGCUAGAAGAAUUCUUAGAGGUUAUUCCCUCUUGCUAAUGUAGAUUUUGAUGGUGUUCACUGCAAUAUACUAAACUCCAAAUUCUACAGAGCAGGGUAGUUAGUUAAUUAGUUUAUAUUCUUCUUGUUCAGAAAAACAUGAUACAUAGCUGAUUAUGUUUUCUGCAUCAUACCAACAAAUUGAUUGGAUUUAAAUGAUAAAGGAGGGCAGGAAGUCAAUUUCUUCACCUGUUACUUAGCUGCUAUAAAAGUCUCAACUUUCACGCAAAACUGUAAGAAUAAAUGGCUGAUCUGCUGAAGGAAGCUUUAAAAGAAAAAAGAAGUGAAAAAAAAACCAUGUAUAUUUACUCAAACGUCACCAAAUUUGGAGCAUCAUGAAAUUUCCAAUUCCAUGCGAACCCAGUAUCGGACAAUCAAGUUAUUCAAGCAAGGGAGAAGCUUUUGGCAAAGAAGAGGAUUAGUAAAGUAAAACUCAACAUACCUGCUACAACCAUGAUAAAUAGCAAGAUCAUCAAGAGCGCUCAAAGCAACACCUCCAGUUAAGCAUAUCAAUGCCCCCGACACAGCCCUCCUGCCCCAUCUUUUGCCGCUUGAUCUUCCACUCUCUUCCUCUACCAAACUGUUCCUUCGGGAAUACCCAUCCACUGAUAUUAAUUAAAAAUACAAACAACAUCCCAUAGACCAAAAGACAAACAAAUAUAGAGAAUCGGAAGCAAUUAUCUUGCUUGUAGAUAGAAAGCAGAAACAAAUUGACAAAAACAAUGACUACUAGUAGUAUGUGGGCAUUUAGGCUUUACGCAGUGGCGGAGGCCUGUGAUGAAGAUGAGGUUGAUGGGGUCCUUGUCUUCAGGAGAGAGAGGAGCCUUCGUCCCAGCAUUCCCUUGUGCGAGUUGUUAUGCUGCUGCUUCGGCCGCCGUGGAACAUGAAUAGAGCCGACAGCUGAUCGCCUGCUCAAGACGAAAUAGAAGAUUGGGCUGCAAAGCAAAUGGCAUGUCGGUUUCAGUUUUGCAUUUUCUGGACCUACUAGGUCCUUCAUGGCUAACGAAAGAGCUCCUUAAAAACAGACCAGAGCAGAGAAGCAAAUCAGGCCUACAUUUGAGAAGCCUGGGCCCGUUUUUUGAAGGAUAGGCCCGUUCCUAAACUUUUACUUUUUGAUGUAGGAGUAAUGUCUAGUUUGUCUCGGUACUCGAUCAUUAUUGAACAAGUUUGGCGAAUAGAGGGCUUAGCCUGCCAAUUUGAGUUCUUUGUGUUUUAUUUGGGAUUUUACUUUAAUGUAUCAUCAUUUUUACGAAAAAAAAUUAAUACCUGAAACUCUUCUUACCGACUAGGAUUCAGGUAUUUUCUCAAUUUAAUUUAACUUUAAAACAAAAAAUCAAUACCCAAACCCCCUCUUAAUGAAUCAAAUCCUUUUCUUUUCUGACCCCAUUGGGUUGAGUUAUCAUUGUUUUAAACUUUCCGGACUUGAAGUUGUUGAGGAGCAAAAAUUUGGACUCGCAUGAGAGACGAUUAUGAUUGCUUGAAAGGUUUCCAGAUGGAAAUUGUUGAGGAAUAAAUACUUGUACCAGAUCAAGCAACCGGGCUGGACUUCACAGAGACUCGUAAGACUCCAUAUCGCACAGUUGCAAAUGCAUUGCAUUGCAAAACUUAUCGUAUACCAUCUGGACCAAAGGAGGUUUCUAUCAAGUUUACAUGUCCGGCGGUUUCUGAACUUUGGCACUUUUCGAGUCUCAAAGGAGGGGACAAUUCAAGGAAAGCUAGCCUCCAAAUGGCAACCCAGUGCUUAAUUCAGCUACUAAAAAUUACUUUUUAUCAAACUCCUAGAAAAUCCCAUACAAGUCUUUUGUCUUUUGAUCCAAGGAGAAAGGGGAAAAAAACUGUAUGAUCAACGAUAAGAUGUAACAAGUUCUUCAACAUAGAUCUAGUAUCCACGAGCAGCUUCCAAAUGUUGAUUGACAGAAGGUAACACGCUGAUGUACAAAAUGAUGAGGGAAAACAUUUCAAAUUCUCCUCCUUGUGGCGUUUGUCUUUAUCUGCCAUGCCUGGGAGAAAUAUCAGCUGACCUGGAUCUGGAUCCAGAGGGUGACCUUGAUGCCUGACCAGGGGAUGGUCUCCAGUGAGCCACUGCUUCCCCAGAUUCAAGCUCAGUUUUCCUGCAACACAUCACAUGAAUGCACAUGCAACUGUAAAUGGAAAAAGCCUUGAGAGGAAAAGGGAAGGAGGUUUUUUGGGGGGAAGGAAGGGGGGGGGGGCAAGGGAAUAGCCAUCCGAAUAUCACAGCUUGAAAACUGCUGAACAUUCGCACGUCUUGAGAUACAAAAAAACAACGUUGAGCAAGUCUAAAUGACUUCCAAAUGAUUUAGGCCACAACACUACCAGGCUACCAGGAAGACCCAAAGUUGUUUCAGACGAGGAGGCUGAAAAGCAAACAUUUCACUUCUCAGAAUACUAUCAAAGGCAGAGGUCUUUCAGAAUAUUGGUGAUUAGCUUCAUCAUAAUGCUGGAAAUACACAAACCAACACAAUAAUAUAUCAGGACCUUCCCCAGCCCCUUGAACCUUCCUCCUGUCCUUUUGAUGCAACAAAGAAAAUGAUGCCCGGCUCCCAAACCCCUCGAUGGCACAAUUAGAAAAGACUCCAACUUCUUGCUUUUAAUCCGACAUCAGCAACUAUUACUUAGAGCAUAACUUCACCACACUAGUAUUUAACAGCAAGUGACCUUCGUAAUGCGUGUUUCUACUUACUUGGCAUAGCUGCUGCCAUUUCGGUCAGCCACAUCAUGGUAACCAGGAGAAUAUGACCUGUGAAUAUGAACAAGGUCUCGGUCUUGCAGAUGAUCUCUUGGAGAUCUAGGGCGAUCAUCAUACCUUCUCGGUGGAGAAAUAGAAUAAUCAUUACGGCCCCUUGGUGCAGGAGAGUACGACCUGAAAAUUAUUGCAAUGAGACACAUUCAAUUAAGAGAAGGGAGAUGCUGAAACUGUUCAACCUUAACAACUCACCUUGAUCUAUAUCGACCUCUAGAACCUGAAGCAUAUCGAGGGGAGCGUGAACGAGAGCGAGACCUAGAAUGCCCUGUGCAUAGAAUGCAAUAAAUUUACAAAGGAAAAGAUAAUAGAAGAUUAUCAUCAGAAGAUAAAGUGAUCAUGCUUAAUCCAAGUUUAGCUCAAGUUUGGUGACUAUAUACCAAACUUGAGUAAAAUUACAAAACAAAAAAUUAUAUAUAUAUAUAUAUAUAUAUAUAUAUGCAACCCCUUCAGAGACUAACCAGAAAUCUGACUCACUGAACAGUGAGGAAGACAAAUACUAUCUAGAAACUCCUUUUAAGUCUCCACUCAAACAAAGCAAGCAAGACAAACUUGUAUCACUUCAGGAUUUGAACUUUUGAGAAUUUUUUAUUAAUUAUAAUGCAGCAUACUACUUUCAUAAGAAAUCAAAUGCAGAUCCAGCAGACAUGCAAAUAAAGUUACAGAAAUCUAGAUUUCAACUAAAAUCGAACAAGUACACCUAAAAAACAAAAGCACUAUGCAUUUCUUAAAUUUCUAGCCUUACUCCCGUUACAAGAAUCUACAGAUAUAUAAUCAAAGGGAGAAAAUCUUGUUAGUAGAGAGAAAUACGUCAAUGUUGAUCCACAACUUACCAUAGUAAGAUGACCGUCGUACCCCAUAGCCUACAGGUCCACUACAAAAAGGCCAACGUGCAAAAUAUGUCAAAAACUCAGUAACUUGUGGAGUCACCAGGAAAGAAGAAAAUGGCAUAUUUUUACCCAGUCCUAGCUUUUCUGCGCAUCUCUUCAGGCCUUUUUCUAGUCUCAGCAGCAACAACUACAGAUAUCUCCCUACCAGCAAAAAUCUGUCCAUUCAUUUGAUAUUGAGCCUCUGCAGCUUCAUAGGGAUCAACGAACUGCACAAAAGCAAAGCCACGAGGUUCCCUGCCAGAAGAAGCAGAGAGCAUCAUCAGAAGUUUGAAACUCGCAAUGCAAAAAUAAGUCACUAAGAAAACAAAACUAAUACUUACUAGUCAAAGUUAGCAAACAAAUUUAGUGUUAUUAAUAUCUUGCUUAAUAUACCUAUCAUUUCACUUAAAAGCAAAAACUUCAUUAUGUGAAAGAAGAAAGUAUCCAAAUGGCUCACCUUUUCUUUACAUUCAAGUAAGCAAGCAACUUCAAAAGAUGCAAAUUACUCGAAAUUUCUUGACAAGCUCGUAAACAUAUAACACAUUUGAAAUCAGCUUUCUUCCAGGAUUAAACUCUUCUCAUGUUGUCUUCACUUCUCAACUAUCAUUCUUCUUCGUCAUCAAACUUCUAUUGAUCGGUGUAAUUCAUAGUUUGUCUUCAUGAAGGACCACUCUUUAUUUGGAACAUUAACAGCCUUGGGAGGAAAAUAAUUAUAUGCUAUGAUAAAGAACAGGGCUUCAACAAUUGUGGGGCUUGGGCUUGUUUUUAACUUCAAACAAACAGACCCCCGUAC
RNAcentral lists this long non-coding RNA (53028 nucleotides) under Coffea arabica (coffee). Its description in RNAcentral is "long non-coding RNA (CARA_LNC000915)". Lineage: Eukaryota; Viridiplantae; Streptophyta; Magnoliopsida; Gentianales; Rubiaceae. The record is from RNAcentral.